This 58272-nucleotide long non-coding RNA is filed under the name Vitis vinifera (wine grape). RNAcentral describes it as "long non-coding RNA (VVIN_LNC004125)". The record is from RNAcentral. Lineage: Eukaryota; Viridiplantae; Streptophyta; Magnoliopsida; Vitales; Vitaceae.
UCAAAUUCUUCGUAGGCAUACGCACCAUCCUAGGGAUGAGAAAACCAGCGAAGAGAUUCCAAAAGCUUAGGAAAAACGACAUAACAAUGGCAGCAAUUUGAUGGUUGGGAGUGAGUGCCACGAUCAUCAUUCCAUACAAUGUGAAGUAAAUAAAGCACAUGAGUAGGUAGUAGUAGAACCAUAAGAACUUGUCCACUCGCCAGUAGAAUCCCAUCAUAGAGUAGAGGAGAAGACUGUAAACCAAAGUUUGGAUUGCAACGUAAAUUGCCUCUAUGGCCACCUGCAGGGCAUCCGAAUACAAGAUUAGUUUAAAGUUAAGCUCUACUAGAAAUGUGUCUGUUUCUCAUCAGUUUUCUCAAAAGGCAACCUGGGCAAAUGCGUAAGGCAAUGCUGAAUACAUCCCAGCUGCCCUUUCACGGUAGAAGACUGUUCUCUCAAUUGCCACAACAGGCUGCACUGAGGAAGUGUUGGUGGCUCCAAGGAAGAAGACAGCUGAAAACAUAGCUCCCAGCAGAUUUAUUAGAUCUUGUUCCUUGUCUCUGCAUACAGUAGUUGGGGUGUUGGUUCACAUUUUUUGUUAAUUAUUAAUGGAGAACAACCAAAAUAAUAAAUUUGCAAUACUUACGUCUUCUCUCCUUUGUUCCAGAAAAUUACUCCAAAUAGAACACCAAUAAUUAUGGUCAAGAAGAACCGGAUAGCAUUAUAGGGAGGAUUCCUCCAAUAAGACCAGUGCUGUUUCCAGAAGCAAGCCUUGCAUUGACUAAUAAAGCUUUGAGAGUAUUUGGUGGGGAAAUAAAGGUCUUUGGAUCCUGGUGAUGGUGUGCUCAGCUCUUUGAUGAGUUCCUGAUUCCUCCUGCAACAAAAAGGUGAGUGUAAUAAGUCAUUGGAAAAAGAAUUGAGACAGAAAGAUGAUGUUCCAAGGAAUCAUAAUCCACUUACUGAUAGAGUUCAGAUUUAGCAUAAAUUUCUGCAAAAUCCACACCAAGUUGAGCCUCAACUGCAGCAGAGCUGAUCUCCAGCAUCCAUGUAGCAGGAUUUUGACCAUCUCUGACUUUAGGAACCCCCGGGACAGCCUGCAGCAAGUUAUGGAUUUGAUCAUGACACACUCCUUAUAAGUAUAACAAUGGAGAUGGAGCAAGUUCACGGAAGAUGAAUAAUGCUCACUUCAAAGUACUCUACAAGCUUGUGAGAAUUGCGACCAAGAGCUCCAGCAUAAAUGAUUUGUCCUCCUCUCUUCAUCAGCAGUAGCUGCAGGCAAAAAUGAUGUUGGAUUGAAGAAAGGAAUGGUGACUCCAUGAUAAUCAUACCAAUAAGAAGUAUUAGAUUCAAAACCAUGAAACUGAGAAAUACCUCAUCGAAAGCUUCAAAGAUGUCUAUGCUUGGCUGGUGAAUGGUGCAGACAACAGUCCGCCCUGUAUCCACUGUGUUUCUAACAGUACGCAUAACAACUGCGGCUGCUCUAGCAUCAAGGCCUGUCGUUGGCUCAUCCAUGAAGAGGAUGGAGGGGUUAGCAACCAAUUCUACAGCUACUGUCAGCCUCUUCCUCUGUUCUGUUGAAAGCCCAUGUAUUCCGGGAAGGCCAACCAAAGCAUCCCUCAGGGGGUGAAGCUCAACCAAUUCCAUUACUUCCUCAACAAACACCUAUGGCACAGAAGGAACAAAAAAAAAAAAAAAAACAACUGAUGAAUAUAGCUUAUAAGAGGGUGAACUAAAAGAAAAAUCAUUCAUUUGAAAAAAGGACAUGCCUGCCUUGUUUCCUUCUUGACAUCUGGAGCAAGGCGCAGCCAGGCAGAGUAAACAAGAGAUUCAUAAACAGUUACAUUUGGAGAAUGUAUAUCAUUCUGCUCACAGUAUCCACUAAUACGAGCGAAAGUUGCUUGGUUUUUGGGGUAACCAGAAAUACUGAUACUUCCUUCAAUGUAUCCACCAGUUUUCCUUCCUGCUAACACAUCCAUCAAAGUGGUCUUUCCAGCACCACUAACACCAACUAAUGCUAUUUGAAUACCUGGCCUGAAAGCACCACUAGCAUCCCGCAGCAGUUGGAGACGAUCCGCUUCAAUUCCUUGGCUCUUCAUUCCCUGUGAUUGAAUCCAUAAAAAAGUUUCAAAGCUCUAGACCAAGAUCAUAUCCUAACACAUAUAUUAGUCUCACUGGUGUGUCUACAUACUCAAAACAAGUUACUUACAGCAGGCAUAUCAACAUAGUAAUUCACAUGCUCAAAUGCAAGUGAUAAGGGCUGGAAGGGCAACACCAUUCCCCUUUUAGUAGGUGUAUGAUUUGCAUCUUUGACAACUGAUUUGGUGCUUUCUCUAGUUUUCCUUACUUCCAUAUCAAUACCUGUUACCAUAGACCUACUAUCAGCUUCCAGAUAAAGAAAAUCUGAUGUUUAUGUUAUUUGUAAUGUACAGUAUCGCUAGCCUCUUCAAGAAGUGAUUAACAAGAAUUUUGUGAGGGUCAGGUAAAAAUCUGGUGUCUCCUAGAGAAGGAGAACCAAUAGCAAGAAGCAAGUUCAGAAAUUGUAGAACCAUACAAUAAUAGUUGAUGAAACAUUGUUAAUAGCAACAUCUUCUCCUCUCUGCAAAGGGAAAUUUGCAGCAUGUUUCAGAAGAAAUAGAUCUCAAAACUUAUCCUUUUUGUCCUAACAUUUUGAAAUCUCUCUUAAUAUCCACCACUUUGUUAGGCUUGAGUUUUAGGCUAUCAUGCUACUGGUUUUCGACAUUGAUAAACCACUCAGUUUAUUGAAAAUGAACACCAUAAGGUGGCAAUCACAGGGGAUUUGAUUCAGUGGAAAACUAGAUAUUGAAUUAUUGUUGAAUGGAAACUGUAUAUGGACCUAAUGCUUGGUUAAUAAAAUAUAUAGAAACGCUAGAAGACAAACAAACAACCAAAAACCAGAGGAGAUCAAAGUAGGAAAAAUCUUGAACCUUCAGACAUUGGGGCAGUAGCUGAAUUUCUUUCUGGGGUGGUCAGAUCAUGCUGUUUGUUAGAGAAAAACUGCUUCUCACUCUUUUCUUCAUUUUCCUCAUCAAUAAUGACAGAUUUUGAGUCUCCCAGAGCUGCAUUUGAGUUUCAGAAAAUUGUCAAAACUAGAAUCUUAUUUAAAUAAUACCCAGUUCUGACUGAUGGAUGGUAAUUCCAUGACUAGAACCUUUGGAGGGAAGGAAAAAGGAAAAUGGAGGUUAGUAUAAGCAAUAACUUACGGUCCAAAUAUGUCAGAGCUACAAUGAAACAGAUAUUGAAGAGCAGAGAAAACCCCAUGAGUGCACCAACACAAAUCCAAUACCAAUAGCCAUCCACAAACAUGCCUCUUGCCUUGAGAAGAGCUUUUCCAACUGUGGGUUCUGGAAUUCUUUGAUCGAUGUUGGGCUGUGCCAAAAACCGAUUAGCGUAUACAAAGACAGACCAAGUAAUGACGGCAGAAAUGCCAAAGCUUAAAACAAAGUGAGAAACAAUCAUUCAAAAGCUACUAGGAAACCUUACCGCACUCCAUCUGUCAUCAAGAAAUUCAUUGAUGACAAGCGCAUUUUGUCCAUACGUCAUUGGAGAAGCAUAAUAUCCCCAUAUCAUCCAUGGUUCAAUAUCAUCUGAGUAAGAAGGAGAAACAAAUGGUUUAUUACAUUAUCACUCAUAUGAUAUAAUCACAUGAAGAGUGCCCCUUGUCUCCCUUUCCACUUGAAAUAUGGCAUCAGUGUUGCAAAAACAAUCUGUUGAAUUUUGACUUAGUAUUUGCUGGAAUUUGAAUUUUGAAUAUUGCAGCUGGAGUCUUGCACAAAAUCUGCAACAUCUAGAUAUUUUCUUAUUUUUAUUUGGUCAAGAUUUGGUUUCUAUUUUAUAGGAAGUAGUUGUUCAUCAUCUAGUAGCUUGAUUUUCUGCUAUUCUAAUGUCAUUUAAGUUACAAGUUCAUGUAUAAAUUCAGCAUUCUUCAUCAAUAAAAUUAGAGUUCCAGCAGCCCAAAAAUACAUAUUUUAUAUAAGUGUUUAAUCCAAAUACCAACAAAGUGGUAUCAGAGCCAUAGUUAUCUUGAGGGGCCAGUGAGGUGAGUGAACCCAAACACCUUCUAAAAUCAUUUAGCAAUGGAAGAGUCAAGUCUCACAGUUGCACCAUCAAUUCUUGAUGGAGACAAUUAUGAAACUUGGGCUGUUAGAAUGACAGUUCAUCUACAAGCACUUGAUGUUUGGGAAGCAGUGGAAGAAAAUUAUGAAGUUCCUCCCCUGGGAGCCAAUCCAACUGUGGCUCAAAUGAAGUUGCAUAAAGAAAGAAGGACAAGAAAGGCUAAAGCGAAAGCUUGCUUGUUUGCUGCAGUUUCACCAUCAAUUUUCAUCAAAAUCAUGAAAAUUGAUUCAGCUGCAGAAAUUUGGGAGUAUCUCAAGGAGGAAUACAAAGGAGAUGAAAGAAUCAAGAACAUGCAGGUGAUGAACUUGAUUCGAGAAUUUGAAAUGAAGAAAAUGAGGGAGUCUGAUGCUGUUAAAGACUAUGCUGCACAACUUCUUUCAAUAGCAGACAAAGUUAGGCUGCUUGGAAAAGAAUUUUCCAAUGAGAAGAUUGUUCAAAAGAUAUUGGUUACACUUCCUGAGAAAUAUGAAGCUACAAUUUCCUCUUUGGAGAAUUCAAAAGAUCUGUCAACUAUUAGCUUGACAGAAUUAUUACAUUCCUUGGAGGCUGUGGAACAAAGAAGACUCAUGAGACAAGGAGAUACUGCAGAAGGAGCAUUUCAAGCAAGAAUGCAGAAAAAUGCAGGCCAUAAAAAUGGAAAGGUGAACAACAACAAGUCGUGUGGCAACAACCAGAAAAAUGGAGUUUUUCCACCUUGUCCUCAUUGCAAGAAGACAAAUCAUUCUCCACAAAAAUGUUGGUGGAGACCAGAUGUGAAAUGCAACAAGUGUGGUAAACAAGGACAUGUGGAGAGGAUUUGCAAAAAUCAACAGCAGGAAGAAACUAAUGCAGUAGUUGACUAUUGUCAGGAGGAGCAAUUGUUUGCAGCAACGUGUUUUGCUAAUAAAAGCACCUCUAAAAGCUGGCUUGUGGAUAGUGGUUGUACAAACCACAUGACAAAUAAUCAAGAUCUCUUUAGAGAACUUGAUAGAACAACUAUUUCCAAAGUCAGAAUUGGAAAUGGUGAGUAUAUUCCAGUGAAGGGCAAAGGAACGGUUGCUAUCGAAAGCCAAACAGGUUUGAAACUCAUUUAUGAUGUUUUGUUUGUGCCUGACAUUGACCAAAACUUACUCAGUGUUGGACAGCUCGUUGAGAAAGAAUUUAAAGUUUAUUUUGAAGAUAGGAAUUGCAUUAUCAAGGAUGCUGAAGGCAAAGAGGUGUUCAACAUAAAAAUGAAGGGCAAGAGUUUUGCCUUGAAUUUACUGGAAGAUGAGCAUACUGCUAUUUUACAACAAGAUAGCACAACAAUGUUUUGGGACAGAAGGGUCGAGCACUUUCAUCAUGAUGAUGUGCUCUACAUGAAGAAAAAUCAAAUAGUUGAAGGACUUCCUGACUUAGAAAAAGAUCUUCCUAUAUGUGCUACUUGUCAAUAUGGGAAGCAAACUAAACUUCCCUUUCCAAAGAAAAUAUCCUGGAGAGCAACCCAAAAACUGCAACUGGUGCAUACUGAUGUUGGUGGAUCUAAAAAAAUGCCAUCCUUGAAAUGGAAUGCAAACAAUGUUUGGUGGAUCUCAAAAAAUGCCAUCCUUGAAAUGGAAUGCAAACAAUUUUGGGCUAAAACUGCAAGUAGAGCAGUAUAUUUUCUGAACAUAUUGCCAACAAAAGUGUUAAAGAAGCAGACCCCUUUCGAAGUUUGGUUUGAGUGUCUACGUGCAAGACUUGGAGUUUGCAUCUACGAAGUCAAGGAGGAGUGUUGAAUUUUGACUUAGUAUUUGCUGGAAUUUGAAUUUUGAAUAUUGCAGCUGGAGUCUUGCACAAAAUCUGCAACAUCUAGAUAUUUUCUUAUUUUUAUUUGGUCAAGUUUUGGUUUCUAUUUUAUAGGAAGUAGUUGUUCAUCAUCUAGUAGCUUGAUUUUCUGCUAUUCUAAUGUCAUUUAAGUUACAAGUUCAUGUAUAAAUUCAGCAUUCUUCAUCAAUAAAAUUAGAGUUCCAGCAGCCCAAAAAUACAUAUUUUAUAUAAGUGUUUAAUCCAAAUACCAACACAAUCAGCUCAGUGCAUAGCAAAAAGACACAAAACACUGACCUUUGGCUACAAUGAAACCACCCAGAACAAAAACCAGUAGCAAUGUAAAGGUACCAAGAGUGUUGGCCACAAUCUGUGUUCUUCCAAGUGCUGCAAUGAAGCGGAAGAGAGAUAGAGCCAUCUGAUGCACGCCAAAGAAUGCCAGUAAUUGACGGAAAAACCUGAACAUUUUUCAAGUCUUGGGUUGUCUUAGUUCCAUUUGUGAAUGCUAAAACAAGAGUCAGGAAGAAUGAGGUCCAUUCACAUACCUACUAGCAGAAGGGGCAAACCCAAUAGUGUAAUACGUGAGAAUGAUCCAUAUCCCUGACUCCAUGAGUGACAAGGGGAUCCUAAGGACCCAAAUUGGUAAUGCAAAAGCCCAUGCCGGGUAAAACAAGAAAUCCCUCUGCUUAAAAAACACUGGGAGCCUGAAAAGAGUCAAUGCAAGCUCUGCCAUUCCGUUAAACAUUACAUUUAUGAGACUAUAAAACAGAGCCCCAUAGAAUUUUACUCCAUCUUGCAGUUGGCCAUGCUUCAUUUCUGUUCUGAAGAACACUGUCAUGGCAAUUACUGACAUGAUUGUAAUCUGGGUUGUCUUGAAUAUGUAUAUAAAAGAGUUGCGCUUCAUCAAUAGCCACUCCCUGGCAAAGCAUGCCUUGAAGAGUUCCCAGUUGGAGAUUCCAUACUUUUCUGUCACCAAUGCUGCAGGAUGGGUUCUGCUCUUAUUGUAAGGGAUUCCAAGGUCGUCUGAAAGCUUCUGGCCAAUGUGGAAAGAGUUGAAAUGUUGUGCAAACUCGGGCACUGAGAUAUAUUUGUAAGGUUCAUUGUGUCUGAACCAGUAUUGUUCUUGUUCCUUUCUGGAAGUCACCUCUUGCAAGAAGUCUGCAACUCCUUUUCUUUUUGGGCAUUUGAAGCCCACGCUUUCAAAGAACUCAAGGAUGUUUUCACGGGGACCUUGGUACACAAUCUGACCCUCACAUAGUAAGAUAAUGGCAUCAAAAAGAUCAUAAGUUUCAGGUGCAGGUUGGAGAAGAGAGAUUAUCAUGGUUACUUCCAUGAUAUGAACCAUCUGCCUCAUAAACUUGACAAUCUGAAAAGUGGUGGAACUGUCCAGACCAGUUGAUAUUUCAUCCAUGAAAAGAGCCUUUGCUGGUCCAACCAACAUUUCUCCUGCAUUCAGUUUCAUCAGUCAUAUUAGGCUUUUGUGGAAUAUUAAAAAUCUUAAGAACAAGGAUUCCUCAGAAAGCAGACAAUUCAUAAUUGAUCAGUAGCUCAAUUCAAAUUGAAGGCAAAUGCUUUACCACUAAGUUGAAAGAAACAAUUGAUAUAGGACAUAAUCAAUGGAAAUGGGGCACAUACCGGUAGUAACACGCUUCUUUUCUCCACCAGAAAUGCCCCUUCUCAUAUCAUCUCCCAACACAAUGUCAGCGCAGAUGUCUAAUCCCAGCAUCUGUUACACAGACAAUGUCAAAGAGCGUAAAGCUUGGGAAUGUAACUAAUAGGCCAGGCACCAAAUGGAAAUGGAGGUGCAAACCUUGAGCACAUAAUCUGUAACCAAACUAGUUUCUUGGCCUGCCAUUGCUGUUGCUUUCAUGAAUGCAUCUAUCUCAGGAUCUGGCUUAAUUGCAGAUUCUUUUUCUCGUCUUGACAAUUCUGCUAGUAGUUCAUAUCUGGUUCCAACUCCCAAACAUCGUCCUGAGAAGUCCAACGUUUCCCUAACUGUCAUCUCACCAUGGUGCAGAUCAUGCUGGCUAAUGUAAGCACAUGUUCUCUGAGGAACAAACUCUGAUAAUUCAUGACCACAGUAUGUGAUUUUUCCUUCCAUCUGUCCAUAAACACCGCACACAACAGAUCAAUGAGUUCAGGAAUCGGGGACUAUCACCAUCACUAAAUAAUUCAGAAUUAAGGAACAGUCCGAGGACAUGGGCUAAAACUAGGGAAGGAAAUAACGAUGACACAGUGAAGGAUCGAAUUGGAUAAAAAUAUUUGUCAGAAUGUAAGUUGGGGGGACAGCAUACCCUUAGAUCUUUGUCCAUCUUCCCAGCAAGCGCCUGCAGCAGGGUAGUUUUCCCUGAGGCUGGAGGUCCCAGAAGCAGGGUCAUUCUGCAAAACACAGAAGCUAAUCAAGAAACCAGCAAAGAAAGAAAGUGUACUUAAUGGGAAAUUUUUUUGUUAUCCUAUUGAAUUUUCCCAGAAUAUGUAUCAAUCAAAUUAUCUAAAGACAUCAUUCAGGAGAUUUGUGUUAUGGGUAACAUGAUUGAUUGAAUGGUACUUCCAAAAAUGGAAUACAUUUACCUUGAUGGUUUCACGAUCCCACUCACAUCUUUUAGUAUCUUGACUACCCUUUUCUUGGAUGAGGAAAGCCUAAUCAGUCCAAGUAUUCCCUGUUCAUGACAAUAAAUAAACACAAUCAUACUUCAUUUAUCUCUACAACAGUCUUCUCAAUUGAAGCAAACAUCUCCCAAAAACAUUAUCAGGAGAUUGAAGUCAUUCAUUAUAAUUUGCUGAAAGGGAAAAUCAAGAAUCACCAUCGAAAACAGAAGAAGAAAAACAAAGGGACAAACAGAACAAACUACCUCUAUGAAGUUCAUGGUAGAAUUGAGCAGAGUAGGAAGUGCUCUGGUUCCAACAUAUGCGUCUCCUUCCACUGAUAAAUGCUCAAACCGGACUUCGAUUUUUGGUAUCUCAACCCCAACCCUGUUGAGCAAACAGAUGUUAUGUUUCAUAAAACUUUUCUGGUAACAAAUUCAACCGGGGCAAAGCCAAAAGCAAAAAAACACAUGACCAACAGGGUGAACUUCAUGGGAAGAAAGAGAGAAGAGUGACCUAUCAGUCCUUUCCCUGAGCCUGAGAAGGAACUUCUCAUUAUCUUCUUCAACAACCUUAAGUAUACUCUCUAUGAGAUGCUUCCUCUCCUGCAUACCAAGAUUGGUGAAGUCAACUUCUUCAUGGACAACCUUCCCAUCAUCCAAAACUUGCUUAAGCAUCCCCUUCCUCAACCGCUCAAAGGUUGGAAGCCUUUCAAUGGCCGCCCACUUCAACUCUUCCUCAUCAUCCUCUCUCCUACUCUGAAAAACAUCACCUUGUGCUGACAACACCUCAAGAAUACUCGCAGAAGCCCAACUUCGCCUACUUCCAGACGCUAAACUUUUGCGCCUGCUGCUCAUGGACCUUGCUAGAUCAUCCCCAGCCAAUGCUGCAGCCAUUGUCACCCACCAAAACCCCUCAGAGUAAAGACUCCAAACCCCCCUUUAUAAUAACCCUGGAAAGCUCAGAUUCAACCGAUGAGCUCAAGAUGCUAGAGAAGGUGUGGAUGAAAUGGUGAGUAGAUGAGAUUGAUGGGCAUGGAGUGAUGUAGGAGGUGAUGGAGACUGGAAAGCGGUAGAGAAGUGGGCAUUACUGAGUGGCAGAGGAGAGUCUUUUAUGACGUACAUGAAAUUUUUAUGUUUGAUCACUUGACAGUUCGGGAGACUUGAGAGUUGGCUGGUGAGACUUUCAUGCAUAUGGAUGCAAAUCUUUUUCGGCUUAAUUAUGGCUGGCAUAUAGUUUGGAGAGGGUAAGUGUGUUUUUGGUGUCUCCGUGUUAGCUUAACAACCACAAUAAAAAUAAAAUAAAAUAAAAACCUAAAAUUAAUUAAAAUUUCACCCACCCAAGAAAAAGAUAGUACAUGUGUUGUUAAAUGCUACUACUUUAAUAUUAUCCUUCACUUAAAAAUGUAUAAAAAUAACAAUUAUUUUGAAAUCACAUCAUACCAUUUCAAAAAUAAAAAUUUCCCUUACAUGUAAAGGUUUUUUUAACAAAAAUAAAACAUUUGACCCCUCUAAAAAAACAAUAUAAAUUUAAUUUUAAAAUUUUUAAAAAUAAAAAGUGAUGGUAACUAAAUAUUAUUACCACGACCGAACUAAAAUUAAAAAAUAAAAUAAAAUCUUCUUUAAUAUUUUUCAUACUUAUUUUUUCUUGUUUUUUUGAAUCUUUUUCUUGUUUAUGCUUAGUUUUUAUGAUUGGUUUAACUUACCAGAGAUAGUUAAUGUUAUCCUUAAUUUACAUAUUGAUAUUUAUCUAUUUAUUAUGUAUUAGUUUGAAUUAUAAUAAAAUAUAGAAUUUGAUUUAGAGUGAAAGUUUACUAUUAAAACCUACUCCCAAUCGUGUAGAUAUUAUCCGUUUUGGACCCAAAGGGGCCCUCUCAGCUUUAAAACGCGUCUAAUUGGUUAAGAGGAGUCUCUACAUAUAUAACAUUAGGAACUUUCUCUUAUAUCCGAUGUGGGACAUCACAAACACUUCUUAUGCAAACACAACGUUUGUAACGACCCGCUCCCAACUAUGUAGAUAUUAUUCGCUUUGAACCCAAAGGGGCUCUCACGACUUUAAAACGUGUUUACAGGGUUAAGAAAAGUUCAUGCUUAUAUAGUGCUAUGAACUUUCUCCCCUAUUCGAUGUGGGAUGUCAUAAACAUCCCCCUAUGCAGACACAACGUCCUUGUUGUGUCCUACGAGAUUGUGGGGCCAAACAAACACCCUUACGGGACUAAACAAACCCCACACCGAGGUCGGGGAUCAGCUUUGAUACCAUUUGUAAUGACCCGCUUCCAAUCGUGUAGAUAUUGUCUGCUUUGGACCCAAAGGGGCCCUCACGGCUUUAAAACUCGUCUACAGGGUUAAGAGAAGUCCAUACUUAUAUAGUGCAGGGAACUUUCUCCCUUAUCCGAUGUGGGAUGUCACAAAAUUUUUGUAAUGGCCCGCUCCUAACCGUGUAGAUAUUGUCCACUUUGGACCUAAAGGGACCUUCACGGCUUUAAAACGCGUCUAUAGGGUUAAGAGAAGUCCAUACUUAUAUAGUGCAAGAAAUUUUCUCCCAUAUCCGAUGUGAGAUGUCAUAAACACCCCCCAUGCAGACACAACGUCCUCGUUGUGUCCCACGAGAUUGUGGGGCCAAACAAACACCCUUACGGGACCAAACAAACCUCACACCAAGGUUGGGGAUUGGCUCUAAUACCAUUUGUAAUGGCCCGCUCCCAACCCUGUAGAUAUUAUCCGUUUUGGACCCAAAGAGGCCCUCACGGCUUUAAAACGCGUCUACAAGGUUAAGAGAAGUUCAUACUUAUAUAGCGCAAGAAACUUUUUCCCCUAUCCGAUGUGGGAUGUCACAAACACCCCCCAUGCAGACACAAUGUCUUCGUUGUAUCCCAUGGGAUUGUGGGGCCAAACAAACACCUUUACGGGACCAAACAAAUCCUACACCGAGGUCGAAAAUCGGCUCUGAUACCAUUUGUAAUGGUCUGCUCCUAACCGUGUAGAUAUUAUCCGCUUUGGACCCAAAGGGGCCUUCACGGCUUUAAAACGCCUCUAUAGGGUUAAGAGAAGUCCAUACUUAUAUAGCGCCAUGAACUUUUUCCCUUAUCCGAUGUGGGAUGUCACAAACACCCCCCUAUGCAGACACAACGUCUUCGUUGUGUCCCGCGGGAUUGUGGGGCCAAACAAACACCCUUAUGGGACCAAAAAAUCCCCACAUCGAGGUCUGAGAUCGGCACUGAUACCAUUUGUAACGAUCUGCACCCAACUGUGUAGAUAUUGUCCACUUUGGGUCCAAAGCAGACAAUAUCUACACGGUUGGGAACAGAUCGUUACAUUGAAUUGUAGUAGAACCCAAAUAUAUUUAUAUAUAAAUACUUAGCAUCAUUAAUGAGAAUAGUAUGUCAUAUUUUCUUUAUCUAUAUGAUAUCAAAGCCUUGAAUUCUAAACCCUAAUUCAACUUAGAGCAAAUUUAGGGUGCAAGGCUCAGGCCCUACAUGCCUCCCCCUACCCUUACCGCAAAUCGUAGUGACCUUGCUAUGCCUAUGUAUUGAAUGUAGUAUUUUGAAAUACAUUUUCAUAGCCAAGAACUCCAAUUUUUCUUAGUUCAAACCUACUAGAAGUUUCUUCUCCUUUGCUUCCACUUGGUUCCUUUAUUUAACAUAUAUUUUUUUUAUUCCCUUCAACUCUACCUUUCUCUCUUUCUUUAAAACCUUCAUCAAAGAUAUAUUUUCUUUAUUUAUAUAACUAAAUCAUAAAAAAAAAAAUACUUGUUAAGUUUUUAUUAACUAAUAUUUUUACCUGGAAGUAGGAAUAUAAUGUGAAUCGAUCAAAGUUUAACCAUUAAGUUGCAAGUGUUUAAUGAUUUAUUAUAAGUUUUAAGUGAAAGACUUUACUUUCGAAGAUAGUCCAUUAUUUGAAAAAGAAAAAAAGCUAAGAUAUUGAUUUUGUAUCUAUGAAAAUUUUGGAUACCCGAAUAUAAUGCUACCAAUAAUUGUACUAAUGCACAUAUGUCUCUCUCCCAUCAAUCGGUACUAGUUAAAGUAAUGGAAAUUCCCAUAUUUGUUUGAUGAGAAAUUCGAAAGAAAAAAUAUAUAUAAUAUAAAUAAAAUAUAAAUAAAAUAUAAAUAUAAAUUAAGAAUAAGCAUCCCCUGUAGAUAAAUAAAUCUUUUUUUUUUUUUUUAUUGGAUCCGUCGGGACUGACGGGGCUCGAACCCGCAGCUUCCAUACCCGAUUCAUAACUAGAAAGUUUCUCUGGUCCUUUACUAAUCGGAGCUAAAACUCUGGAAAAUUUUAAUGUCCACUUUUGAAAGCAUAUAGAAUUCUAAGUUUUUUGAAUGUAAGUAUAAAAAAUGAAGUAAGGUAUAAAUAAAUAAGAUUAAGUUGUAAGACAAUGAGAUCUAAAGACGUUAAACAAAAAUGAUUGAAUUCUUUAAAAUAAUUUUAAAUGUUUUUUCUUUAAAAUGACUAAAAUUAUUGAAAAUUUAUAAUUAUUUUUCUUUUAAUUUUUUUAAUUCUUUUAUUUUUUAUAUAUCUAAAAUCUAAAACUUUUUUCAAUGUUCUUAAUACCAUGUUGUUUAAUUUGAUACAUUUUUAUAAUUAAUAUUUAAAAUUAUUUAAUUUUUUUAAUAAUAAUAUAAAAUACUAUUAAUUAGCUUACAAUUUAUAAAUGAUAACUAUAACAUUUUUCUUGGAUCCCUCUUAACAAAAGUCUCUGGCUCGGCCAUUGGUUCACGAGUCUCCCAAUUUCUAUCCAACUUUUAUCUUAUUAUUUUGUAUUUUAAUUUUAUUAUUUAUAUGGGAGUUUUAUAUAUUUCUUAGUAUAUACUUAGAAUAGAUUAAUUUAGAAAGUUGGUAUGUGGCCCAGAAGAGAGGCAAUUUGGACGGCCAACGUGGCAUAAAUGCGUCAACUUGACUGACAAAUCACAUUAAACCCUUAAUGCCCAUGCCUUCCCAACUGCCUCCUGCUCUGAUUGAUAUUGAGUGGAAGUAAAUGCUCUAUUAAUAUCCCCUUCUAUGAUUUUGACUUUCAUUCAUUACACCCCACAUUUCUCAAUCCAACAAAUGUCGACAUGACAGAAGUAGAGAAAAUUAAAAUCUUCAUCUAAACAUCAUGUACGGGGAAUAAAUUCCCUAAUUAAAAUUUCUUGACCCCAAUUAUUCACGGAUUUUUUAAAUAAAAAUGUUAUUUUAAAAAAUAUUAUUAAAAUAUAGUUGCAAAAAUAUGAUGCUUUUUAACAUAUUUUUUUAUUUAUAUCCUAAAUUUAUCUUUUCAAAAUAUCAAUUCACUUUUUAAAAAAUGAUUUUAUUUUUUGUACUGUAAGGAUCAGUCAUAUUUUUACCUUAGAACAUUUUAUAUUGAAUUGGACUUUUCAAAAAAUGAAAAGACGAGUUCUACUUGUAAUUAAAAAGUGUUGCAAAUUUAAAAUCAUUUUUUAUAUUACGGUUAUUUAAAAAAUGCACUACUCUUGUAGAAAUCUCAAUUAUUCACCUCAUCAAACAAUUUUGAAAAAAAAAUGUCAUGUUUAAAUCUAGUUUUUAUUUUUAAGAUCAGGCAAGAACCUAAUGUUUUAAAAGCCUAACUAAUUAAAAAAACAAACCAUAUAUUAUAAAUGGAGUUUUUUGAAUUAGUUUUUAAAAAGAUGUGGUGAAUAAGUAACCUUAGAAUCCAUUUUUGGUAGUGAUUUUAGAAUACUUUUUUAACACAAAAAGUGUUUUUGAAAACAAAUUAGAUGGUUUAAAAUUUUGUAAAAUCACUUAUAUCAUUAAAAAAAUCAUUUAUAACAUUUUCUAGAAAAACAAUUGAUAAAUGAUUUUUCUAAAAACAUUUCUAGGUAGAAACAUUGCGAAAUACAGUAUUAAUUUAUUACUUUUUUUUAAAUCUUUAUAAAAUGAAUGAAGAAACUUUUCAAGCAAACAAAUUAAUACAAAUAUUAUUAAUAUAAAAUAAGUUGGAAAAAAAAGGGAAAAAUCGAUGCAUCAAAUUUCGUUUGAUUUGUAAUCUUUUCGUCCAAUGAGCAAUCAUCUUUCAUUUCUCAUUUAUAUAUAAAUAUAUAUAUUUUUAAAUUUUUUCAAAACAAAUGAAUUCCAAUGGGAAACUUAUGCAUUAGAUUCUUUAAUGAGCUUAUUAACUUUUAGAAAUGAUUUGAAAUCUAGAGCAGUGUAAAAUCCUAUAAAUAAUUGAGGAGUAUAUGCAUGUGUGACAAAAAAGUUAAUUUAUUUACAUAAAUUAGCGUUCUCCCUCUUUCUCCUUUUGUUUGAGAUUCAACGAAGUCAACAAGUACAUAUGUUGACUAAUCAGCUUUGGUCAUGAUCAAUACACGAAAUAACCUCGCAAUUUCCUUGUAUUUAUGUUUCUGUGAAGUCCAAAUUCAUUUAUUACUCAAAGCAUUAAUUUCAGAAAAUAAUAAAUAAUAUUUGUUUUUUAAGAAUUUUUCUAUUCCAUUGAAAAGCCGAUUUUUCAAUAUAAUAUAAAAAUAUGGUAAUGCAAGAAAUAUUGUUUGAUCCUAUUUCUUUGAACCUGUGUUGUUUUUAUUUUUCAUAUCAAAAACUCAAAUCUUAAGUUAGACAUUGUAUUGAAGGGGCAACAUAAAAUCUUUAUUAUUCACCUCAACUAAGUGUUAUUUUUUAUUUUUUAUUUUUUAUUCUUUUAUUUCCCAAUUUGCAGAUCUAAGAGGUUGGAUUUGAAACUAUUGGGUAAGACAUAAUCUUGGUUUUGUUAAAAAAAAUAAAAAUAAAUAAAGAAUAAGAAAUAAAGAUUAAAAAAACGCAUGAGAAUCCAAUUGAGAAAGUAAGAAUUUUCAUUUUCUAAAGCCCGCAUGCAAUUUGGGGUGCUUGAAUGAACUUGAUAUUGAAUUUCAUUUCCAACAAAGGAAUUUAGGUUCAUUUGGAAAAAAAAAAAAUCAUAAAGAAUAUGAAAAAUAAAACAAAUUAUUAUGGGGAUAAAUUAUUGUCAUAAAAAAAAUAAAGAAUUGAGGUAAGAAAUUCAGAGAAAGUGAACUCAUGAAAGUAUAAAUUUCCAAUAACCUUUAUUUAAGGUUAUAAUCGUAAUGAGUACAAUAAAUUAUUCUCUAGAUUUAUUACAACGGAUAAAUUGGUAUUAAAAAACAAUAGGGAUACUAUAGAAAACAUAGAUCUUGAGAAUAAAACUACAUACUUUGAUUCAGAUGUUCCUGGAUCGAUUUCGGUUGAUAUAGAUAACUCCAAAGUAGUAAUGAAUCUCAUAAACACCAUGAUCUUCAGUCCGAUGACUCUUCCUUGUGUUGAUGAUGGAGAUCUCAAGGGUGGAGGUUAGGGUUCUCUCUUUAGAUUGAAGGGGAGAAAGACAAGACAUAAAAACCUUUACCCCUAAAGGGGUAUUUGUAGGUUUCUUACUAGGCUUAAGUGCCUUAAGCCCACCAUGGACUUGGGUUACUUAAUCUAGCCUAAAAAAGGUUGCUAAUUGAUUAAUUAACCAUACAAUACCCUAAUCAAUCAAUUAACCCAGUCCAAAGAUACUACUCACUUAUCCUUGUGCAAUCUUAUGUAAUUACCAAAAUACCCUUAUACAUAAAGUGAACUAAAAACACAUUCAAUCCUUAUAAACCGCGUCAUCAAGGAAUAUGAGCUUAGAAAGGGGGCCAUUGAGACCCAUAGGAGUACUAGCUCCCUUACAAUUAAAUUUUGAAAUUGACUCAAUAUCCUACUAUAGAGAGUCAACUACACUCCAGUACCCUAUCUAUAUUACAACGAGACACCAAGUACUCUAGUUCAUGACUUACUAUCCAUUACAUACAGGCUCCCUAUGAACUAGUCCAUAAUCUAACAAGGUAGUGUUAUCACUUAUUAAGAUUACCUAUCAAAUCUUUUAGUUAUAGAUCUCACUUAUUCUAUGAUCAAAUGAUAUACUCUAACUUUAAGGAGCAUAUGUCAAAUUCCAUUAAAGGAAUUAUUAUGUCCACAAAUUUCAAGAUCAUUGGCAUUUGGAUCACCCAAUGGGAUACACUAUUUCAAUCCCAUGAGAAAUCAUGGUGCCUCUAUUGAGAAUACCUGUUGCCACUAGCCUCCAUCAAGAGUGAUCCAAUCCAUAGGGAUAUAUAACCACUUUAGGGUUUUACCUAUAGGUCAAAGCCUCUUGUUGAUUUUGGCAUAGACUCAAUAUCCUCUCAAGGUUGAAAGUUCAUGUAAUACAAUAGCUUGGUGAAUUAAGACAAUUGGUAGUCUUACCAUGAUUCACCCUAAGUUUUGUUCAGUGUGCAUUAGAUACACUAGUGCACUCACCAUGGGAAACUCAUCUCGACAGUUAAGACAAGUCAUCCCUCAAAUUAGGAGGUAGUGCACUACGAUCUCUACUAGAUUACCCAAAUCCAUGAACCAAUUGUGGACAACUUAUCUACUUACAAAGAACCCAUGACUUGUAUAUUCUGUGCAACUCCUAAUGCACCUAAGUCAUGUAUAAUGUAAGAGACAUAAACUGAAUACUCAAAUCAAUGUCAAUACACCAAAAGGAUAGCAAGAUGAUAGCUAAGUUUAACUUUGUUACACUAUAUCUUGGUUUCAAGGGCUCAAUCCCAACAAACUCCCACUAGUCCUAAAAACAAACUAGGCAACGUAGAAAAAAUUAUGCUUCAUAGUCUCAUCACCUCUCAAUACUAUAUCACAAUAAGGUAACACUUUUUCUUUAUGUGUUUUCUCUUUUAAUGGUACUUUAGUUCUUUAGACCAUGCCACUGUCCCAUUGUUAUCACAUAUCAGGAUCCUAGACAAUAUAGCUAAGGGAACUAGCCAUAAGCCAAAAGGCUUCCUUUGUUGCUAUAGAAAUAACAAAAAACCAUUUAAAGUAUACACAUACUUAGAGGUAGACAUACGAGAGUUCCUAUCAAAUUGAAGUUCAAUUUCUCGGUAAGAAAGGAGUACCAACUCAUCGCAAAGACUCACAAACAUAUAAGCCUUUAUUCUUUAAAGAUACUAGAGUAUAUGUUUGACAUCUGCCCAAAUCUCUAAUAAGGAAAUUGACCAAUAUCCACUCAUUAUUCCUAUAACAAAACAAAUAUCUGGUCUAACACAUAGUAUUGCAUACUUAAGGCUACCCAUUACAAAGGCAUUGAAUAUCGCCUUAAUGCUAUCUUUCUCCAUAGAUAUCCAAGGACAUUGAUCCUAAGAAAGACAACUCCAAAUCUAAAGAGUAAUAAACAUUCCUAGAGUUUUGCUUCAUGUACUUGACCAAACGCUUAUCUAUGUAGGUGACAUGACACAUUUUUCCUACUCUUGCAGUCUUAAAAGACCUUAGCCCCAAGGAUAUAUUGCGUCUUCCUCUAAAUUUUCAUCUAGAACUGAGUAAACUACUAGAUCUUAAUUGAUGACAAUAUUUCUAUAUCAUAUCCAAUGAGUAUAUUGUUAUCUACCUACAAGAUCUUAGAGUAUCACCACUCUUCCUUGUACCUUCUUAUACACACAAGACCCUUUGUUAUGAAAAUGUUUAGUUGUUGUAUCUUACAAACGAGACACACUGCAAUAGAUAUGAGUAAUCUAAUGGAUUUGAGUAUGACCACUGUUAAAAAGGUUUCCCAUAGUUGAAAGAAAGUUUCAAACUAUAACCUUUUGCUAUAGUCUUAACCACAUAAAACUCAAGCUUUCCAUCUACUUCUGUGUUCCUCUUGUAGACCAACUUACACCUAUAGGUUUUAUCCUCUUUAAGUGCUUCUAUAGAAAUCCAACCUAUGUUAGAACUACCUCUUCAUAACUCCUUACCUUAAGUGAGGACAAACACUGUUCACCACUUCAUCAUAAUCUAUAAGAUAUGAACCUCCCACUAUGAUGAGGCACUAGUGUAUUAGAAAUAAUGGGAAUGGUAUGUUUUGAAACCUCUGGAUCCAUAGUAUCCUAUGCAAUGUGGGAUUAUCUUAUAAUAUAUCCUCCAAUAUGUAUCACUUUUUGCCUUUUUCCUUAUCAUAUAGUCUUCAUAAAAAAUAUGACAUUUGUGUCAAGAAAUAUCUUUUGGUGAUCUCGACUAUAAAGGUAAUAACCCAAAAAUCCUCCUAAAUAUCCUAUAAACUAAUAUACCUCUUAAGAAAAAGAGGUAUUACACAGUGUAUAAGACAUAUCCCUAAAAGAAUUCGGAAAAAUAUGAAAAACCUAUCCACGAUCUCACUAGGACCAACCAAGUUUGAUAUCUUCUAUCCACUUCUCCAUUUUGUAAUAGAGACCCUGGUGCACAUGCCUAGGAAAUAAUCUCGUGCUCCAAUGAAAAGAAUUAAACUUAUUAGACAUAUCACCUUGAUCUAAUCGAAGUGACUUGGUAUUUAUAUCCAAUAGGUUAUCUGAUCCUACCUUAAAUUCAAUGAAUAUAUCUAAGGCAUCGAAUUUCCUAUGUAAAUAUCCAAACCUAGAGUAAUCAUCACUAAAAGUGAUAAAAUACCCAUACCCUUCCCAUGCAUGGACACUAAAAGUUCCAUACAUGCUAGUAUGCACUAACUCCAAACAUUCCUUGGCUCUAGUCCACUUGGUCAUUUUUCCAUCUAUAUAGGAUUCAUAGACUGAAAGAUCUUCUAGAAUCAAAGAGUCCAGACUUUACUAGUCUUUGGAUCUUAUUUAGAUUAAUAUGACCUAGGUUUAGAAACCAAAUGUUUAAUUAGUGCUAGGUUUAAUAAUGAGAUUUAACUAUUCUCAUCACUUGACAAAGUAAUAAUGGAAUACAUAUAAAAGACGAGAAUAUUACCUUUCACUAGUCUGCAUAGCUAACCUUGCAUUUGAAGCUAAGUUAAAUAUAAUCCAUCAUUUAACCUUCUCACUUGUUGAAUAUUCUAUAAGGACUUAUAAACAAUGGGCCUGGAAUCUAUCUACCAUAAAUGGUGAAAUCUACCACUAAAUAUUCAAUAACGAGAAAAUGAUGUAUGCUUUCCUUGUUCCUUAAUGUAAAUUGGGCAUUCCUUUUCUAGAGUCCUAAAAUGUCAUAAAGGAAUCACUUUCCUUUGAGCUUGCUCUCUUAUUCUUUCUCUCUAACUUUCCUUAUUUGGUGUUAUUCUUCAUUUUCUUGAGAGAAGAACCUAAAGAACCUUUGACUUUCAUAUGUACACUCUAUAAUUUUUAAUAAUCCCUUUAGCCAUCCCGAAGGAAAAUGACAAGGUCUCUAAGAUCAUAUAUAUGAAUACUAGUGUUCAUAACAGUCCUAAAAGUAGCUUGUCAAUGUUGUCCUACCAUUAUCAUCAUUCCAAACUAGAAAGUGUAUAUGAAAGUCUUUAGUAAUAGAGAUAUGUUGCUAUUGCAACACAUUAUCCAAAGAUCCAAGUGUUACACACUUGGUCUUCUAAUACAACCUUGAGAUACCACUCUUUCCUUUUGCUAGGUUAGUUCAUAAGGAAUAGUUAGCUCUACCUAAACUAGCUUCUAUGUAAUUACUUGUUAUAUCCAUAAUGAAAUUAGUCUAAUUAAUUAGUUGGGCUUGGCUUAUUGUGAGAAAGAGAGUGAUAAUAUAACCAACAUGAUAUCUGUAAAAAAGAAUAUAAUCAAGCAUAUGACAUAAUUUAGCAUUUAUGGGAAUUGGUAAUAAAUUUAGCAAAAAUGUAGUGUUCUCAAACUACAUGUCAUUUUGUAUAUUAGUAUCAUAAAAAUCAAGUCUACCUUAUUAAUAGUUAAAGACCUUCUUAGAUUGAUCUCAUUGCCUUAAGUAUAAAGGUAUCUAAAGGCAUGAUCAACAUACUUUUUAUUUGGCCUAUGGACUAUGCAAGUAGGACCGUGUGAAGCUAUUCUACCACUUCAUAUCCAAUGUCAAGUUGUGGACCCACAUUUUCCAUGUGCGUUCCCACUCAAACGGCUAGACUUGUUUUUUUUUUAUUUAUUAUUAUUAUUAUGAAAAAUUGAUUUUUUGAAAAAGACUUGGAGUUGUAACUUAUUUUUGUUUUAUUUUUUAAAAGGGGAAACAAAAUAAGAAAAAAAAAAGUCCUAUGUGAAUCUUUAUUUGGAAAAGACGUGUAUGCAAAAACUGAGUUUGAAUUUGGGAAUCAAGUUACCUAUCAGGAAGGUACGGUAGUGUGUCAUAGCACCCCUCUAAGAUUGUAUACAUACGACCUCUACUAAAUGAAUGAAGGGAAUUGUGACAAUUAAUUAAUUGAUCAUGGAUACCGAGAAAAAGAACCACAAAUAAAUAUAUACAAAUCAUUGCGAAAAUCAAUAUAUACAAAAAUAAUGAUGAAAUCAAAAUACAAGUAUAUACAAAAUAAAUGACAAAGAGAUUAUGCAAAUCGAUUUAUUGAACUAAUUAAAAAAAUAUAUUCAAAAAAAUUAUUUUUUAAAGACAUUUCAAAGGAUUUUAUUAAAAAAAAAAGAAACAAUUUUGAAUUAAUGAUUUCAAUUUAAUUAUUUACAAAAAAAAAGUGUCAAUUUAUUUUCAAUAAAUGCUUUGAUUCAACUUUAUUUGUUUUCAAUUUUUAAAAAGAGUUAUUUACCCUUAUUGUAUCAAAAGAACUUAUUACAAAAUUUCAAUUUGGUAACAAAUUUUUACUUGUUUUUACUAGAAAUGAAUGAAUUUUUACAACUAUAUUUACAAAAGUAUCUUAGUUUGAUUUUUCAUUUAAGAAAAGUGAUUUAUACAAAUUAUUUAUAAUAAAUAAAUAACUUUAUUUGCAAAAGAUUUUUUUUUUUUAAAAAAAAGAAAAGACUUUUAUAGGUUUAUUUACAAAAAUGUUAAAAUUCAAUCCAAUUUUAAUCGAAAAGUGAAUUUUCACAAAAUUAUUUACAAAAGUGUCUUAACCCCUUUUUUAUUUAUAAAAAAUAAUUUAUUAUUUGGUUUCAUUAAAAAAAAUUUAUUGAAAAAGAGAUUUUAUCUUUAUUUGAUUUAAAGGUAAGUUAUUCAAUUUUAUUAGAACUUAAAAAAAUAAAAUAAAAUAAAAUAAGUCUUAAAGAUUUGAACUUUACAAAUAAAUAAAUAAAUACCAAAGUUAAAGAAAAUCAUUUUUUCAUAUUUUAUUCACAAAAGCAUUCCAAUUUGAUUUUUGUUUUCUUUUAAAAGGAUUUUUUUUAAGAAAAAAAGGAAAUUUACAUUUUCACAAUUUUAUUUGAAAAGAAUUUAAUUUAUUUUUAUCAUUAAAAAUAAACAAGUAAAAAUAAGUAAAUAAAUAAAUAAAUAUGCUUAUAAAUUGCUUAGAAGAUUCAUGAAGAUUUUUUUUUUUUUUAAAUAAUUUUGUCUAAAAAAAAUUACAAUUUUAUUUGCUUAAAUAAAAAUAAAAUUAAAAGCUAAAAAGAAGAUUUUUUUUUGAAUUUUAUUUCAAAAAUAGAUUUAUCUUAAAAAUAACAUAAAAUUAUGAGUUUGUCUAAAAGAUUGAAUUUUUACAAACCUUUACUAAAGACAAAUUUUUACAAUUUUAUUUAAAAGGAAAUUUUCCUUUAAAAAAAAAAUGAAGAAAAAUCUGCACAAGUUUUAUUAAAAAAAAAAAAAUUGUUCAUAAAGAAAAUAUUAUUCCAAUCUUAAUUUUAUUUAAGGGAGAUCUUUACAAAUUAUUUGGAAAAAGUACAUUUACAAAAUUAUGUACAAAGUAGGUAUUUAUUUAGGGAUGAUUAUUUACUUGACUUUUAUUGAAAAGGAAUAAAAUAAUAAUAAUAAUAAUAAUAAUAAUAUCUAAAAAAGGAUUUUACCUAACUUUAAAAAGAUAUUUUUUAAAAACUUUAUUUAAAGAGAUAACUUUGCCUAAGAUAAUAACAAUAAUAAUAAUAGAAUAAAAUUAUGACUUUAAGGGUUGAAUUUUUUAUUUACUUUUAAUAAAGAUAGAUUUUUGUAAUUUUAUUUAGUGAUAACAAUAAAUCAGGCUCCACCAACUUCUACCCAUGCCAAUACCUUGCUUCAACCACCCCAACUACUCAUAUUUUGCUCUUCCCACUCUCAACACAAUGACAAAAGACAACCUAAUCGUAAGAAAACCCAAUAUGAAUGAACUUCAAUAACCCAAAUCAAUAAUGCAUAAAGCCAAAUACAAAACAAUAACCCGAACAACAAAGCCUAAAUAGAACAAAUACAUCAAACACAAGUCCAAUUAAAUGAAAUUCGAGCCUAAAUUCGUAAAUGAAUAUUGUAGAAAUUAAAUAACAUAACAUAAAAUAAAAGUAAAAAAUAAAAGAAACAAAAUAAAAUUAAAUUAAAACUUACCUAUCUCCCAAAGCCGUGUAUAGAGAUGUAGCAACAAUGGGAGAUCGGUAGCCAUGGGGAGCGAAAAAUGAGAUAGAGGCACGCCUAUGGCGAGACAUAAAGGACAAUAAAAGAAAAAAAAAGGAAGAGAAGGAAUAAUAUAAAAAAUAAAUAAAAGAUAAGAAAAAGAGAUAUGCGGGAUGAAGUGGCCGGAGAAAGGUCAACGAUUGUGGGGUUGUCGGUGAUUAGUUGCCAUCGGCGAUGACCGUGGGCCAAUGCUCCCGCCAUUGGAGAUGCUGUGGACGAGAAAUAAGAAAGGACAGAGAAUAAAAAUAAAGAGAAAAGAAAGAGGAAAGAAAAAGAAUGGGAAAAAAAUAAUAAUCAAGGAUCAGUGAGUGGAGAAGAGAAUAUGGGAGAAAGGAAGAAGAUAAAAGAAAGUGGGAGAAAGGAAAGGGAAAGGUGAGGUGGCAGGUAUGGAGAGGAGAGAGAGAAGUUAAGGAUUUAGGGUUUUUUUUUUUAAAGAAAAAAAAAAAGAAAAUGGAUGGUAGGGAUGGGGUCUAGAGAUGAACGACCAGUAUUGGUUCUCUAAAGUAAGAAAUGGGCUUGGAACUUUGGCCCAAAAUGCAAAACAAAAAGGCCCACCAAAUUUAGGGGUCUACACAAGUGUAUAACCAUUAUCCUCGAACUAUCAUUGUCACCAAAUAAAGAACCCCACCAUGGGGGUGGUCACUCUCACUAUAGAUAUAUCUAGUUUUCUAUACACAAUUCCAAUUAAUAAAUAUUUUAUUUAGGAAAUGUUUCAAAGAAAUUUAUUUCCAUCAAAUUACUAAAUCUUUUGGUAGUAAUAUUUUAAUGAUAAAUUAUUUCUAAUGAAAAUUUUCAAAACAUUUAUUUUCCAAAAUGGAGACACUUGUAUAAUAAGGAAAUUGCCAAUUUAUGAGAUUUUGAAUAAUCUUGAGAGCACCUUAUCUAGGAAAGGAAUUUUUGCUUCUUAUAUUUAAAAAUCCUCAUAAGAUUAACUUUUCUUAUUCCUUACACUUUUCUAAUUUAAUAAAUAUUUCCAUGGAAAUUUCAUAAUAAUUUAUUCCAUUAAAUACUACCAAAAAUAGAACCUUUUAAUAAUUCCUUAAUAGAUAAAAUAUUCUCUAUGAAAAACUACCAAAAAUGUUUAUUUCCAAAAAUGAAUUAAGCAAUCCUUUUUCAAAAGUAUUUUCAAAAUAUUUUAUAUCUCCAUUAAAUUACUAAAACUUUCCAAAGUUAUUUUGGUAACCCUUCUUAUUAUAAAUUCUCGAUCAUAAGAUUUUUCAAAUCUAUUAUUUACUUUUAAACUGAGACUCCUGUGUUAAAAGAAUUGUUCUCUUAUUUUUUAUCAUUAAACUAUCCAAACGAAAUGGUUUUCUUCUUCUCUCUAGUGGGGAGAGCUUGGAUGACCAACCAUAGGUAUAUUUUUCCUUCUUUCACCGAGAAAUAACAAAAAAACCACCUAAAGUUUAAUAAACAGAUAAUCAUAAAGAAAUAACAAUCUUCUUAGCAACAACCAGCUUAAAUAGAUAAUCUUAAAAAAAUAUCUUCUCAUGAAAAUUUAAGAAGAAUACCAAAAAACUUUUCUUUGUGUUCUAAUACUUAUUUUGGUAACCAUUCUUAAUUAUAGAUUAUCCAUUAUGAAUUUUCAAAUUAACUUAUUUUUUUAAAAUUGGAAAUAGGAAAAAUACUAUUUUAUAAAGAUAUGAAAAAAUAAGAGUUUUUCCUUAAAAAAAAAAAAAAAUUAUUCUUAGAGAUCUCAAAGAUUUGAGAAUAUUUUAAAAAGGUAAGAAAGCUCUCAAUCGUUUUUCCAACUUAUCUUUUCUUUAAAAUAAAAAUUCCUAACCAUGCACAAUCCAAUUUAAAUAAGUUUUCCAAUUUUUUUUUUUAAAAACAUAAAAAUUUAUUUCCAAUUAAGAAUACCAAAAUAUCUUGAGGCCACAUAUGCAAUUAAUCAAAAGCAUAUAAUAAAAACAAGGGAAUAAAAAAAAUAAAAACUUUUCUCAUAGCCUUUAGGGAUCUUGUUGCAUAUUUGAUAAUUAAAAUUUGGAUAAAAUCCAAAUUACCAAAAAUAGUCCUACAACCAAAAAUAAGGUUACUGAAAAUAGAAAACCCAAAAGGCCCAAUUGCCACCAAAAUGAGCCCAAAAGGAGAGGAAUCAAAUUUAGUCUGAAAAACCAAAAAGAAUUGGACUCGUAUGCAAUCCUGUAACAACAUGCUCUUUGUGCAACAUUGCUUCAAUGGACUAUAUCUCCCUUGUUUCAACUCCAAAUUGCAAUUUGCUUGAACCAUUGGAUUCGUGACCUCCUAAGAUUCAAAUUCAUAUGUGGCCUGCCCCAAGAAACUACUAGGAGAUAGUUGUGAUUUUGAGUUUAAGUUAACGUCAUUGUGUUGCCAUGGAUCUCAAACCAAGAACUUCCAAGAAAGCUUCUUUUUUCUUUAGCUACCAUAGAAUCUCAAAAGGAACUUUCAAGAUUCCUUCUUUUCUCUUGGGUCACAUAAUCAGGAAUGGAUAUAAAAAAGGCUACUAGGCUCCUUUCUUUCUUAUCACAUCCAACCCUUAUCGAUAGCCCCCACUAGGACAUUCAAGUAAGUCGGGUUUUGAUCUGAUUCCAAAAUGAGGCAGUGUUACCAAUGACUCGAUACCCCGCUGCUACUGAAUGAAGUUCGUCCUUCUCUCAUUUCCCUAUAAUAAGAUGUUGACCUCCGUAGAUAAAUGCCCCAUAUAACCUCUCAUCUCCGGGGUUGGGUUGAAAGAACAAUCAAACUGGGUUAAGAGAAGUUUAUGAAUCGAGUGAAAAUGAAAAAUAAAAAUCGUAAAUAAAAAUGGGCCAAGUGUGUGAUGCAAAAACUGAAAAUUUUACAACAAUUAAAAAAAAUAAAAAAUCCUAUGCUCUUUUAAUGGAGUUUGCAACCCAUCUAUUGAAAAGAAAAGAUUUUUACAAUAAAAUAAAAAUCUUAUACCCCUUAUGGGGUGUACAACCCAAUCUAGAGAAUCAAAAGGCAUAAAUCAUAUCCAUUUAUAUUCCUUCAAAUGAAUAAAUAAUAAUCCAUCACAAUUAUAAUCAUAAUCAUCGUAUUGACAUUCAUUCAAUUGAACAAAUAAAUGUAUCCCAUUCAUUCAUCUAUUUAGACCAUGGGAUGAAUAAAACAACCCUGUAAAAUAUAGUGAACACACCUUAGAACAGAUCUAACAUGCUAAAACCUACCCUAGGGUUCUGAUACUAGUUGUUGGGAACCUCAAAUUACUCUAUUCCCAUGCCCUAGAUCACGUAGGGUGCGUGCAAAUAUAUCAUAGGCUCUUUAAAUCUAUCACAACAAAUAAAUUGGUAUUAAAAAACAAUAAGGAUACCAUAGAAAAACAUAAAUAUAGAGAAUAAAGCCACAUACCCUUGAUUUGGUUGUUCUCGGAUCAAUUCUAAUCGAUGUAGAUAGCUCCAAAGUCAUAAUGUAUCUUGUAAACAUUAUGAUCUUCUACCCGACAACUCUUCCUUGUGUCUAGGCAUUAAGAUGGUGGAGAUAUCAAGGGUAGAGUCUAGGGUUCUCUUUCUAAACUAAAGGGGAGAAUGACAAGACAUAAAAACCAUAACUCCUAAAGGGGUAUUUAUAGGCUUCCUACUAGGCUUAAGUGACUUAAGCCCACCAUGGGCUUGGGUCACUUAAUCUAGCCCAAAAAAUGUUGCUAAUUGAUUAAUUAACCAUACAAGACCCUAAUUUAUUAAUUAGCUUAGUCCAAAGAUACCACUCACUUAUCCCUAUGCAACCUUGUGUAAUAAAUAAAAUGCUCUUAUGCAUAAAAGUGAACAAAAACUCAUCUAACCUUCAUAAACUGUGCCAUCAAGGAAUAUGAGCUCAGAGUGGGGAUUAUUAGAACCCAUGUGAGUAUUAGCUCCUUCAAAAUCAAAUUCUGAAAUUGAUUCAAUAUCCCACUAUAGAAAGUUAAUUGCACUCUAGUACCCUAUGUAUAUUACAACGAGACACCAAGUGCUCAGGUUCGUGAUCUACUAUCUACUGUAUGCAGACUCCCCAUGAACUAGCGUCUGUAAUCUAACAAGAUAGUAUUAUUACCUCUCAAAUUCUUGAGUUAUAGAUUCCACUUAUUAUGUGAUCAAAUAACAUACUCUAAUUCCAAGGAGCACAUGUCAAAUCCUACUAAAGGAAUUACUGUGGUCACAGAUUUCAUGAUCACAUGUCCUUUGAAUCACCCAAUGAGACACAUUGCCUCAAUCUCAUAAGAUAUCGUGGUGCUUUUAUUGAGAAUACUUGUUGCCACUAGCCUUCAUCAAUAGUUACCCAAUCCAUAGAGAUAUAUGACCACUUUAGGGCCUCACCUAUAGAUCAAAACCCCUUGUUGAUUUUAGAAUAGGCUCAAAAUCCUCUCAAGGUUGAGAGUCCAUGUAGCAUAGUAGCUUGAUGAAUCAUGACAAUUGAUAGCCUUGCAUCAUGAUUCACCAUAUGUUUUAUCCAAUGUGCAUAUACUCACCAUGAGAAACACAUAUUGACGGCCAAGACAAGUUAUCCCUCUAAUUAGGAGGUGGCGUACUACAGUCUCUACGAGAUUGUCCAAAUCUAUGAACCAAUUAUAGACAACUUAUCUACUUAGAAGGAACCCAUGAAUUUUAUUUUCCGUGCAACUCCAAAUGUACUCAAGUCAUGUACAAUGUAAGAUUUAUGGAUUGAAUGCUCAAAUCAAUGUCAAUAUAACAUGAAUUGUUACAACAUGUCUUGUUUUUAGGGGUUCAAUCCUAACAAGUAUUACUUUCAUACACUCUUUCUCCUUAAGUAUCUUAAGACAUUGAUCUUGAGAAAAAAGAACUCUAUGUCUAAAGGGUAGAAAACCCUUUUUGGAAUCUUGCAUAGCAUAUGACUCAAGUGGGUUGAGAUAGUGUAAACUUCCUAUUCUUACAAUCUCUUAAGACCUUAAUCCAAGGAAUAAACUAUGUUUCUUUAGAUUUUUCAUCUGAAACUGAGUAGAAAACUAUAUCUUGGUUGAUGAUAAUAACCUUAUAUCAUUCCAAAUGAGUAAAAUAUCAUCAAAAUAUAGGAUCAUAAAGACCAUCAUGCUUCUUUACACAUUCCUAUACACACAACGUUCAUUUUUCAUUUUGAUGAAAGUCAAACGUUUUGAUGAAAGUCAAAAGUUUUGACCGCCUAAUCAAAAUGCUUAUACAGUGAGCAAGAUACUUGCUUUAAUCCAUAAAUGGAUUUCUGCAACUUGCACACCAAACACUUUUGGUAUUUUACUAUGAAACCAUAUAGUUGCAUCAUCUAAAUGGUCUUACUAAGAUAGUCAUUUAAGAAUGCUUUCUUGACAUCUAAUUUGUUUGUCUCAUAAUUGAGAUGUGUUGUAAUGAAUAGGAGUAUUCUUAUGGAUUUGAGAAUGGUGGCUAGUAAAAAAGUCUCUUUAUAGUCAAAACCAAAUUUUUUACUAUAAUUAAGUCUAACCUUUCCAUCUACUCCUUUCUUCCUCAAAUAGACCCACUUGCACCCUAUGGCUUUUAUGCCUUUAGGUGCUUCUACAAGCUUCCAAACUAUGUUAGAAUGCAUGGAUUCUAAUUUUGUAUCCAUAGCUCUUAGCCAAAAAGAUGCAUCAACAUCGCUCAUUGCUUCAUCAUAAUCUAUGAGAUAAAUCUCAUAUUCUUAUGAAAUUAUCUCAAAAGACUUAUCCUAAUACAUUAAUCGGUCAAGUUAUACAAAACCCCUACUAUGACGAGGCAUUAGUAUACUAAAAAUGUUAGAAGUGGUCGGUACUAUAUCCAUAGUAUUUUGUGCUAUUGUGGGAGUGUCAUCUAAUACUCUUCAAUCAAUAUUACUCCUAAACUUAUUACUUAUCAUAUAUUCUUCUUUAAGAAAUCUAGCAUUUGUACUCACAAAUACUUUUUAAUCAAUUUGAGUAUAAAAGUAAUGGCCUGUCUACCCAAUUCUUCCCUGGAGGAGAUUCGCAAUAACACCAUGGAAUUGACCAAGGAUUUGGUCCAUUCAAAUCUCUCUUCAACUUGCUCAACCAUGUAAGGCUCUAAGUUUUCUUGGGAAACUUCUACCAGAAGAUUUUUUCCAAUCAAUUAAGACAUUUGUAGUGGUGUUUGGAAUUUGAAAAUAGAUGCAUCAUAGAGAGUGAAGAUAGUGAGAACUGAUUUUGUUUAUCUUGGAUCAACACACUUUAAUGUCCUAUUGUUUGCCUUCUAUAAGGAUCCUAUCUAUGAGACUGUUGAACAAGGACUUGCUUUAGUCCUCCAUGGUUAGGAAGAUCUAAAUAUUUAUCAUGUUAGGAGAAUUCAAUGCUAAAACUUUUCCAAAUGAUGGCUCCAUUUUUUUUGGGGUUCUAAAAUCAAGAAGAAAAAAAAUAAUUAUUGAUUUAUUUCACUUUUUGAUAUAUAAAGAGUGGACAUGCUCAUCAUUUUUAUCAAUGACAAUCUUUAAAUAGGCCGCCUGGAGAUCAUUGUGGUAGAUUCAGUAGGUAAUAUUGUCGUGUUAAUCUGUCAAUUUAUGUAUAGCUAUCAUUGCCUCUUAAGGCGUUGAUGUCAUUUAGCUGCAAAGCUUGAAACCUUGUUUAGCCAUAGAAUUUCCCAUCAUAACUAUGACCUAACGUGGAAUUUAUAUUUUAUGCAAUUUUUUUCUUAUUCAAAGAUGUUUAAUAAAUUAUUCUUAUUACCUAUUAAAAUAAGGGGAAAUUAUGUUUUGGGAGGCCCAUUUGAAGGUAAUAUGCAAAUCAAACCCAAAGAAACUGGAAUAUAGGCUUUGUCCGUUAAUGACCAAAUUAUUAUUCUUUUUGUGCACUAUAUAUUGUUUCGGUGAGCUAUUCCAAAAUUGCCCUUUAGUUUUCCCUGUCAGCAACCACCGCGGUCUCCAUGUCAACAGCCACCGCACAAUUUAAUAAACAUUGAAAUGUCAACCGAUCUCCAUGUCAGCAGGCUGGUGUGCAAUUUUAGAAACAUUAAAAUGUGAAUAAUGAAGUUAUGAAGUCUGAAACCCACAAAGCACCCCGACCCAACAAACAUUUGAAACUUGAAGUUAUCUUUGUCACUUUCUAUCGUUUUGCCCUAACCAGAUCUUAGAAAAUUUCCAUUUUCAUAGCUCUUUUGAUACAUCCGAUUUGUUUAUUGAGAUCUUGAGCAGGCGAUCAAUACCCAUAUUUUGAAAGCCGGCUUCAUUUGAUUCUGCCCUAACCCUAGUGUGUCUCUUUACUAGUUGACGACCCAAACCCGAUAGGUUUUUUCCGAAAACCUUCAAGGAAGCCAAAAUCGAGGCAGAUCUUCGUAUUUCUUCAUCAAAUGUUGAUUUUUUAAAGGUUUAUGGAAACCGAAGUGGAGUUUCCUCAAUCAAUAACAGGUGAGUUUUCCAUUUAAGCAUUCGUUUGGGUGUUGAGAACAUAUUAGGGUUGAAGGUGUUAACAUGAGCAUCAGAAAAGAAACUAGUUUAAUAAUAGAUUGAGCAUCAGAAAAAAGGCCGGCUUUGGUACUUUGUUUUAGCUGUGAUUUUUUUUUUUUACUUUUUGAUGGGUAUUGUGAGGUUUUCUAUGUCAAUUGUUGGUUGGUUUAAGCAUUUGGGUCUUUUAGAUUUUGAGCAUUAACUUUUGGGUUGUCCACUGAUUAGGUUUUUAUCUCAUUUCAAAAUUGAAUUUGAGGUGUUUUUACUGUUUUGAGUAUCAAUUAUACUGGUAGGAGGUGAGCAAAAAAUCAUUAUAAAGUAAAGUUUUUGUAUACUGUGAUGUGGAUUUUUUUUUCGGGGUCGUGCGUUGGCUGGUUAAGCAUUUAGGUCUUUCAAAUUUUGAGCAUUGAUUGUUGAGGUGUCCAACAACUUGGCUUUUAUAUCGUUCCAUAAGUGAAUUUUGAGGUAUUUUGCCAUUUCAUGAUAUUGAUCAUCCUUGUAGUAACUGAGUAGAAAAUGAAUAUAAAUUAAAGGUUUUAUGUGGUGUGUUGUUGAUUUCAUUAUUGGGUAUUGAUUUUUAUUUGGUUUAAGAAUAUGGGUUUUCAUAUUUUGAGCAUUGAAAGUUUUGUUGUCCAAUGGCUUUGCUUCCACCCUAUUUUAGUAGUGAAAUUUGAUUUUUUUUUUGCUUCUUUUAGUGUUGAUUAUGAUGGUGGUAGGUGAGCAAGAAAUAAGUCAUUGAGUAUAAAUCAAAGGUUCUCUCUAAUGUAUUAUUGAUUUAUUUUUUUGGUGUUGAUUGCUGGCUGAUUUAUCAUUUGGGGAUUCCAUAUUUUGAGUACUGAUUGUUGGGUUGUCCAACGAUCUGGAUUUAAUCUGGUGUUAGAAGUGAAUUUUGAGGUGUCUCAUUUUAGUAUUGAUUAUACUGUUGUUCAAUGAGCAAGAAACGAGUAUAAAUUAAUAUACUGAAAAAAUCAUAUUAGUUUAAGUGCUUGUGUAAUACAUGCAUAAUAAAUCUAAAUCUAGAAGAUGAAAUCUUGAAUUAGAAUUCCCAGGAUGGAUGAGCUAACAUGUUAUAUCUUGAUAUCUAGACCUACAAUGAGAGAAGGAAUGCAAUAUUUUAUCGAAAAAUUAAAUCCAUUAUAGAAUAGGUUUAUGGAUCUUAAUUAAAUAUGGAUGAUCAAAACAAACUAUUUUACAAAAAUCAGUGAUGAUCAAACCUCACUUUAUUUUCCCAAUGCAACAAAACCAAGCAAAGUUGUGAAUUCAUAAUUUCGGUUUUCCAUAAAUAAAAUAGGAAUCAACGAAUGGUAUCAUUUCAAGUCAUAUAAUUACUGGUAGACCUACAUUGUGAAAGGUCUGCUUGCAUUGUAAAGAAGCCUAGAUUGAAAAAAAAAUUUAUAAAUAAAAAAGUAUACAUACUCACACCUAGAUUUUUAAUUUCAAGUUUUAUUUGUAAUGUGCUAUUUAGGGUUUUGUUUAUUUAUUUCAUUUGUUUUAAAGCUUCAAUUUGCAUAAUGUCUUCUCUUUAUGAAUUGUGAUUAGGUAAAGUAUUUGAUAACUCUUGUUGAAAUUUGAGUUUUAUAUUUCUUUAAUGUUCCAUGUGAGAGUUUGAGCAUCAUGCCACUUAAAAUUUUUUGAAGUGAUCAGCAUGAUUUUGUAAAGUAUAUUACUGUUUAUUUUACUUUUUCUCUCCUUAAUUGCUAAGGGACUAGCAAUAUGUCGGUUGGGGGGAGUGAUUACUACUCAAAAAGUGUUAUUUUGUACCUUGUAAUUAACUCUUUUAAACACUUUUGAGUAGUAGUUAUUACCUUUUAACUCAAUUAGCAUAUUAAGUACCUUUGCAAUCGUUUCUAAUCAAAUUGUGUAAGUUUUGGUGUUUUUGAUAGUAUUUUGAUCACCAAAGAAAUCCAAGAUUGAGGAGAAUUCUAUGGAAUCCAUGGCAAAGCAAUUGGAAGCUCAUUAACAUAAAGAAUCUAAGCUUUGAAGUUUUAUAGUCCUUUGCCAUAAGCAAAUCAUGAAUGCAAGGAGAGAAAGCAAAGAGAGAAAUCUAACAUGAAGAAUUCAAGAAGAUAGCAACUGUUGGACACUUUUGGAGCACUUCCUGGAGCCCAUUUGAUGCAUAAUAUAUGUCGUUUUGAAGCUCGGGAAGUCAGCAAUCCAACGCUUUAAACGGUACAUGAAUCGGAGUUGAAAUGAAGAAGUUAGAGCCAUUGGAAUCCGAUCACACCAAGCUGAAGGCCAAUUUCGCAGGCUGCGAAAUCAGCCUUUGGUUGCAAAAUCACAAGAGGAUGGCUGCGAAAUCAGCCUUUGGUUGUGAAAUGGUGACCUUCAGCUUGCGAAAUUUUGCAGCCAUCUUGCAUGCUUAGGAAAUCCUCCUGAGUGCUUCCAGAUAUUUGCGACCGACACUUUUAGAUUUUUUUCUUCAGAUAUUUGAUGUUUAAAUCCCCAUUUUCUCCUUGUAAUCCACCAAUCAUAGGAUUCCUUGGUUAUUAAGUAAGAACAAAGGGUGAAUAACCUUAUAUAUAUUGUUUGUAAUUUUCAUUACACAAAACAUCUCGGGAACUUGUUCUCAGAGACAUCUUUUAUAUAGUUUUGAAGGAAGUAAAAUACAGAGCUUUGCUCUGCCUUACCUACUCAAUUUGAUUGUAUUUUUCUUUCUAUCCAAACAAGCUCUAAGGAUAUUUCCUCAGAGAAUGAGUGGCUAGACUUUUUGUCUCUUGGAGCUAAGGUAGCUGGGUAAGGUCUCGAGUGCAAGAAUUGGUAGUUUUGUUGUUUCAGCUAUUAAGGAAGAGAAAGUGUGACCCGUUAAUGGUUUCUAUGUUUUUAGUUAACUUAAAACGCCUUUAAUUCACCUAGGCCAACACUUGGUAAGGCAAGUGAUCUCCGUCCAUUGAGAUGCACUAGUUUACCUCUUGCGAGCCUUUGGGAGGUGACUCGAAGGUAGGAUUUUCUAGAAUUGCCAACACUUGGUAAGCUUUUGGACUCUAAGGAGACAUCCAUUAGUUAUCUCUUACGAGCUUGAGAAGGGAAGUCCAAGGUUAAUGAGCACUUUGAAUGGUAAAUGCUAGGUGAGAGGCACGAGCCAUUGCAAGUUGCAUCAGUGAGAGAGAUUUAGUGUUUGAAUCCAAUAACGGGAAGCAUCUGUACAACACCGAUUAGAGAAAUAACUAUAUGUUAAUUCUCUAAUGCGAGGAAAAGAUUCAAGUGACCGGAGCUUUGUUUUUGCAUGAGGAGUCUGACCCCAGUGAACCUAAAACUCCAAGGAACGCUUUUCUUCAUAAGUAAUUCCCAUUACUUUCUUUUUAGUUAGCUUAAAAUCUAUCAUUUUUCAAUCAAAGUUUAUGUUUUCUUUUGAAGCUAACCUUGAAAUGAAAAAAACACCAAUUCAACUUUGAAUUGGUAUCAGUUGUAAGUUGAAAACCCUUCCCAGUGAACGAUCCUAGAGCCACUAUGCUAUAUUAGCUAAGGCUAUCCUAGUGCAUGGUGAUAUAGGUUAUAAAUUUUGUUGAUUACUCCUGUUUGAGGACCAAACUCAAGGUACACCAGCUAGGCACGCAAUCAAUGUCAAAAUUGUUGUGAUUCAUGAUGACAGAGAUGUGUUUUUAGUUUAUUAGUACAUUACUUCGCAGGUACUUAGGUAAUUCAAACCUCUCUAGUCAUCUGGUACUUGAACUUGGGCAGCUAGAGUAUCUACAAUAUCUGUAUUUUUUCUCUUUGAUUGUUUAAUGUAGAAAGAUUGUGAUUCCUUAGUUUUUUAUUCUAUGGUUUGUCUUGCAAUAAUCUAUGGUAUGUUGAGAGAGUCAUUCGAGUUCUUUGAGUGUGGGAUGAUUGGAUAUUUCUUUAUGAACUAAGAUAUGGAAAAUCACCCUUUAAGAGUUUAGGAAUGAUGAUCUAUUAUGGAGCCUUAGGAUCCCUACAAAAUCUACUUUAAAUUUCCAGGAAAAAAAAUGUGAUUAGGGGGCUAUUAAUUCAAGAGCCCCCCAAUAGAUUAGGAUCUAAGGAACUCACACAGAGAUCUAGCAACACCCAUUCUUCUGGGUCUGAAAUGUGUUACGAUGUGUUGUGCAAUGCCACAAGAGUUUCCCAUCUAUGCGAUAUUAGAAAUAGAACUUGAGUUAUGGUUUCCUAACACCAGUGUAACUCUAAUUGUUGCUCCCAAAAAGGAGGCUACUAGUAUAACAUGCAGGAGAGUAUAUACAAAGUUUGAGUAUUUUUACCUCAAACAUCUCUACCAUGGGAAAGGUUUGGCUUUCUUUUCUUAGUUGAGUCUCAUUCUUAUUGUAAUGUUUAUUAUAAUGAAAUGAUGAAAAGAUGACAAAUAUUGUUGGGGUAAAUUGUUCAGAAAAGUGGCAGCAUGUUAUUUAAAUAUAUGAAUAUGGAACUGGAAACUCAGACUCCAAACAGGAAACAAAGGAAGGGAUAACAUUCUCUUAACAUUUAUGAUGGGCCCAUCACAUAGGGUUCCUUCUCAGUCACCCCAUUGAAAUCUAUCCAACAUAAGACACACCCUUAAUAAAAAACAAAAACAAUAAUAAAUGAAAAAAGAAAAUAAGGACAACAUAGUUUACCCUUGAACAAUGGAAUCUUUGAGAGCAUUUAGUAAGUUCUUAUAAACUUCACUAGAGAGAGUAUCAUCUAACAAAAUUGCUUUCAAUUUCUUAACUUCAAUGGAUAGGGUCAUUCAUUAUUAACUCGAUGAACGAAUUUGUUGCAUUAAACAAAUUGAUUUCAAAAAACCUAUAAUCUGGGAUGUAUUGAAAUCUUUAUCAGGAUAUGAUAGACUUUUGACUUUCGAAUGAAGGUCUAGGUAUAAACAAAUUAGGCCAAGGUUUACACCCAUAAAGUUAAUAUAGUAAGUUACGUACAUGGGAGUGAGAGUGAUAGAGUAAGUGUAAAAUAAGGAUGUCCCUCUUUGUUAUGUGGGAUCAUUUAAUUAUUAAUGUCUUCUCGAUGGUAAAAAGUAUAGUUCGAUAACGGUUGUAGGAUGUAAUUAUUUUUUUAAGAUGAUGAAGAAUGAAAGUGGAAAGAAACAUAGAAAAUGGUUUGGAGAUGAGGACAUAGGAAUGGUGGAUAGGAAGUAAGCCACCAUUCUUAUUCCUUAAGCAACUUCAUGGCAUUAGAUUAUAGAUACAAGGAUAUAUUAGGGAUUUGAUUAUAGAAAGGGGGCCUUCAUUCCCUUCUUCCACCUUUCCUCUUUGUCUUUUGUUUUGCUAAAAAAAAUUCUUACACGUUAGCUAAGCAUCACAUGCCCCGAGGAUGACCCAUUUCUGACCUCUCUCUCUAGUCCUUCUUUUUCUCUUUCCAACAUCAUUAUAUUCAUACAUAAUCAUAAUCCCUAUUUACUUUUGUUGUCGUUUUAUUUGUAACAAGUUUCUAUUUAAUUAAGGAAAUGGAAGAGGACAUGUUCUGCUACAUUCAUGAAGGCGGUCAACUAGUUAAAUGUGCUGGUGGGUCUGUAGAAUAUCAAGGUGGUCGAACCGAAUCCAUGGUUGUUAGUUGGAAUAUUUCACAUAGUGAUUUCAUUUCAAAACUGUGUGAUGAGCUGCACUUUGACUGAAGUUCUAUCAAAUUGGAAUUCACGGUCAAGUUUGACCCAUCAUGUCUACUACCGUUGCAUGAUGACGUAGUCAUACUUAAGAUGUUCAGAUUCAACGAAAUGUUUUAUCGAGUCUAUGUCUCAUCAUCAAGUGAAGUUAUUGCAGCCUAUAUAGCACUGACUAGGUACUUAUAGCCUUACCAACAUCACAUACACUUUGUCCAUUAACUUUUGAAAUAUAUGUAGAUGGAUGAAUAAUUUUUAUUUGUAGUGCCCCUACUCCUAUUGUUGGUUCAAAUUCGGCACAUGUACUUUCCUCCGAUGGUGAUCCGCCAAUGGAUAUCUGUAAUGACUCUCUUACAAUUGAGUCAUAUAGGUUUUCCCAAAGAUAUGCUGAAUUAAAUAUACUCGAACGUGAUUCAAGGCGGUUUGAAAAUUCCAUUAUGGGUAGUGGACAUACCUUCCCCAAUGUUACCGAGUUCCAUGAUGACGUGUAUUUGAUGUCAAUUGCUGGUAGAUUCCGUUAUUGCUUCAAGAGAAAUAGUACAAAACACAUGGCAGUUGUUUGCACAGUUAAUGAAUGUCCUUGGAAAGUCACUGCUCGUGCAGUUGGUGAAUCGAACAUCGUUUAGGUUCACACUUUUCAAAACCUCCACAAUCAUAGUUUGGAAGAUGUUGCCACAUGCCAACCUUUAGUGAGAUCCAAUCGUGCCUCAUUGCUUAUUGAUGAUGUCAUACAGUCCACUCCCCAUUACCAACCCUGCCAAAUUUGUAAGGACUUUCAAAGGCAACAUAGGAUGCAAUUGACGUAUCUUCAAGCAUGGAAUAUUAAGGAGAAGGCAAAUGAGCGCAUUUAUGGAGAACCCAAAUAUUAUUACAAAUUGUUGCCUUGGAUGUAUGAGAAAAUGGUUGCAACAAAUCUAGGAAGCAUUAUUGAGUUGAGACAUUUAAGUGAUGGGCAUUUUGAGUAACUCUUUAUUGCUCAUUCGGUAUCUAUCCAAGGGUUUGAAAUGGGGUGUCGGCCAAUCAUUGCUAUUGACUCCGCCCAUAUGAGUGGGCCAUAUAGGGGUGCAUUAUUUUCAGCCACUGCAUAUGAUGCAAAUGACUCCAUAUUCCCCUUAGCCUUUGGCGUGAUGAGCUCAGAAAAUUAUGGCAAUUACUCUUGGUUUUUGCAAAACUUGAAAAAGGUUGUUGGAGAUAAGGAAGUCGUUAUUAUCUCGGAUAGACAUCAUGUUCUCCUUCAUCGUGUUCCUGAAGUGUUUGGGCUUGAAAACCACGCCUACUGUUACCGUCACUUGAAGGAAAAUUUCAACUCUUUUUUGAGCAAACGUAACACAAGAGGGAACAAAGGUAAAGAAAAUGCACUCCAAUUCCUUGAUAGUAUUGUCUAUGCAAGGUUAGAGUACGAUUACAAUGUUUUCGAGGUUGAACUACGGAAAUACAAUGACACUUUAGCCACAUGGGUUGAAGAAAAUGCACCCAAACAUUGGGCUAUGUCAAAAUUCCCAAAACAAAUAUGGGAUAAAAUGACCACAAACCUUGCCAAGUUGUUUAAUGCUUGGUUAAGGAAUGAAAGACAUCACUCCAUUUGUGUCUUUCUAAUGGAGCAUAAAGGUAGUACCUAAGGUACAUUAAGGUAGUACCUAAGGUACAGUCCCAAAAAACCAAAGGUGGACCACUUGACCACAUAAGAGAACCACAUAAUGGCAUGGUCUAAGGGUNNNNNNNNNNNNNNNNNNNNNNNNNNNNNNNNNNNNNNNNNNNNNNNNNNNNNNNNNNNNNNNNNNNNNNNNNNNNNNNNNNNNNNNNNNNNNNNNNNNNGGUAGACCCCAACUUUAGCUAAGGUAGUACCUAAGGUCCCUAAAGGUAGUACCUAAAGUACAUUAAGGUAGUACCUAAGGGCUCUUAAGGUAGUACCUAAGGUACAGUCCCAAAAAACCAAAUGUGGACCUCUUAACCACAUAAGAGAACCACAUAAUGGCAUGGUCUAAGGGUCACAAAAGAAGGCCUCGUUUGGGAAAGUUAGACCCCAGUUUUAGCUAAGAUAGUUCCUAAGGUACAAUCCCUAAAAACCAAAGGUGGACCACUUGACCACACAAGAGAACCACAUAAUGACAUGGUCUAAGGGUCAUAAAAGAAGGCCCGAGGCUUGGGAAAAGUAAACCCCAACUUUACCUAAGGUAGUACCUAAGGUCCCUUAAGGUAGUACCUAAGAUACAAUCCCAAAAAACCAAAGGUGGACCACUUGACUACACAAAAGAACCACAUAAUGGCAUGGUCUAAGGGUCACAAAGGAAGACCCAAGGCUUGGGAAUGAUAGACCCCAACUUUAGCUAAGGCAGUACCUAAAGGCUCUUAAGGUAGUACCUAAGGUUUAAUUCCAAAAUACCAAAGGUGAACCACUUGACCACACUAGAGAAUCACAUAAUGGCAUGGUCUAAGGGUCACAAAGGAAGACUUGAAGCUGGGGAAAGGUAGAUCCCAAUUUUUGCUAAGGUAAUACCUAAGGUAUAUUAAGGUAGUACCUAAGGGCUCUUAAAGUAGUACCUAAGGUACAGUCCAAAAAAUCAAAGGUGAACCACUUGACCACAUAAGAGAACCACAUAAUGGCAUGGUCUAAUGGUCACAAAGGAAGGCCCGAGGCUUCGAAAAGGUAGACCCCAACUUUUGCUAAGGUAAUACUUGAGGUACAUUAAGGUAGUAUCUAAGAGCUCUUAAGGUAGUACCUAAGGUACAUUCUUAAAUAACCAAAGGUGAACCACUUGACCACAUAAGAGAAUCACAUAAUCGCAUGGUCUUAAGGUCAUAAAUGAAGGUCCGAGACUUGGGAAUGGUAGACCCCAAGUUUAGCUAAGGUAGUACCUAAGGUCCCUUAAGGUAGUACCUAAGGUACAUUAAGGUAGUACCUAAGGGCUCUUAAGGUAGCACCUAAGGUACAGUCCGCAAAAUAACAAUGCCACUUACAACCUUUUGCUCUUGUUAGAGCUCGCUAAGUCCACUUACAAACUUUUCCAUGCUAAGGCCACUUACUCUUUGGCUUUGAUUUCCAUAUUACCUUCAAAUGGGCGACUCCAAACACAACUUUCCCAUUUUUUUUAAGCCAUAGAAAUUUGCAUGUUAAAACCAUAAUUUUUCUCCCACGUUUUAAAAUUCCCAUUUGCGAGACCUUUUUUUUUUUCGUUUUGACUCUUACCACAUUAUAAAUGCAACACACAAAUUACUUGCAAGACUACUUAAAAAAUAACUUAUGCUUUUAGCUGGACCUAGUAUUUUUUUUAAAUUUUCUUUUUAUUCUUUAUGCAAUAUAAAAAUUUUAAGUUACACUGGAAACCAACUGAAUCCACAAAUACAAGGAACUCUUUCACUCUUCAGUCAUAAAGUAUUCACAAAUCAAAAUACCAACUCCUAUUGAAAACAACAAGCUCUUUCAAUAUGCUAUACCACACACAACAACUGGAUACCAGAUUUCUAUGCAUUUGAAAAGGUUGAUUAAAUCUCUUAACUCUUCCACAUAACUCCUUUAAACAAUAUGAGGAGCUUACCUGCCAUACUGCCAUAUCUAAACCUUGAAUUUAUGAUAAAUAUCCACAAGUUUUCUUAGAUGUAUCAACCUAGGAUCAACUAAUCAAAAUAUUCACUCAUAUAUUAUAUAUAAGAGGCAAAAAACAGAACAUGACUUCUAAACAAAAUUAGCACCAAGUCCAUGAUUUCCUGAUAGCAACCCAUUCUAGAAUGAGUUAUUCCCUCACAUGAUUUCUGGUACAGAUGUUCUCAAAGAAUUCAUACUUAACCAUCCUAGAAAACUAUUCCCAAUAAAAAUAAAAAUAAAUCCCUAAUAUGUUCCUGUACAAUUUGCAGUUCACACAAAGCAAAAACCACUGUCUUGUACGAAACCACAAAUUGCAACACAAUUAAUAAAAGAAAAAAGAAACAAAUAGAAAAACCCCACAAGAAUGCAGUAAAACUAUCAUUCAGCAAAUUCUGAAAUAAAAAAGAAACAAAUAGAAAACCCCACAAAAAUGCAGUAAAACUAUCAUUCGGCAGUUUUGGAAAUAAAAAAGAAACAAAUAGAAAAACCCCACAAGAAUGCUGAAAAACUAUCAUUCAGCAAUUUUGGAAAUAUUGUAAACCAACACCAUUAUCAUUCAAGCUUCUGAAGUAACCCAUGAUGAGAGCAAGAAGAUCAUAGAACACUUCGAAAAUAAUCCAUACCCACUGAAGAAAAACAUGAUUCACGGAGACCCACAUACCUCAUGCCCCUCAUCAAUGAAAAGUCUGUAAGCCAUGUUCGGGUGUUUUCUUUGAUUGGGUUUCAGAUUUCAUAACUUUCCGGUUCACAUUUGAGUGUUUAUUAAAUGGGCAAUUUUGGAUAUCGGUGGCUACUGACAUGGAGACCGUGGUGGCUGCUGAUAGGGAAAACUAAAGGGCAAUUUUGAAAUAGCUCACCGAAAUAGUAUAUAGUGCACAAAAAGAAUAAUAGUUUGGUCAUUGACGGACAAAGCCCAUAUUCCAGUUUCUUUGGGUUUGAUUUGCAUAUUACAUUCAAAUGGGCCUUCCGAAACACAACUUUCCCUUAAAAUAAUCUAAAUAAUAUUUCUCUUGUGAAAGCCCAAGCAUUCUUAUUGUUCUUCCUCUUUCUCCUCUUUAUCAGGCAUUUUAUUAGCAAUUGAUUAUGCAUCUGAAUUUUUUCAUCAACUCCUAGGAGUUCAUUGACGGUCAGCGCUUGGUAACACAUGCCUAUAUGUCUCACAUGUUUGGGUUGAGAGCAAAGCACUUAGGUCUUCACAAAGCAAUUUGUGUUCUGUUGGGAUGGAACAACAUUGUGCCCCCAGACACAAUAACAUGGGUUCCUCAUGUCUUACUUGGUGAUGAAGCUUUGAAUCAGAAAGAGGACCUCAUUCUCUGGCCACCACUUGUCAUCAUCCAUAAUAUUUCUAUUUGGAACAGUGAUCCAAAAGAAUGGAAGCUUGUAACCACUGAAGCGCUUGGGGCUUUUCUCAGAGGUUUGUGACUAACUUUUGGUUAAAUAAUCAUGUUGAGUUGGUUUACAACUGAAUUUAAUUGGAGGGAAUGCAAUGCAUAUAAAAAAUAAGAAUGCAAUUUAACCUAUUCUUGACGAGCAACACAGGAUGAGAAAUAAGAGAUUAUCAUUAUUGUCAGAUAAUAAGUCUGACCAAAAAGACAAGCUCAUUAUCAACCAACCCAACUUAAACUCGACCCUAAUAAACUUGUUGAACAAACACGUUGAAUCCUGCCCCAUUUGAUGAGAAAACAUGGCUAACCUUAUGAUGUAAUUCUUAUUUUGCUACUUGAAAAUUAUCAGUUUUAAAAAACUUAGAAGACUAAUGCCCUUAUACUUUCAUGGGAGUGAACCUCUCAGUAUCCUGAGCAAAAGCCUUUUCUUUUUUUUUCUUUUUUCCUUCUGAUCGUUGACUACUUGUUUUUGUGAAGAUUCUUCAAAAUGCCCUGGUUGCUUCCUUCAAGUCUUCACACCAUUAGAAAUCUGUAGUGCCCUUGCUGUGAUUUGACUAUUUCAUUCUUAUUCCCAAGUCUCAAUAUUUUCCUUUCCUUCUUUUAAAUCAACCCAAGAAUUUUACAAAUUUGUCUUAUUUUUGUAGUAGUUUCUAUAUUGGUUUUGAUUUGGAAGUGAGGAUGACUUCACUGAAAAUGUACAAAUUAAGAAAAAUUACAAAUGAUAAGCUCUUGAAAUUUACAAAAUUCAAGAUAAAUACAAGGCAGCCACUUCUCAUUCCGUCAUCUGUAAAUCACACAUACUUGUGUAUGCAAAUGAAGAAGAAACAAUCAUUUUCUGAAACUUUCCUUUACCUCCUUUGGAAGUCAAGGAACUUAAUGCCAUAGGCAAAGACAAAUAAGAAGAGGAGGACCCAACCAAUAUGAGCCAAGGCAACCGCUCCCAGGAAAUCAUAUUCAAAGCCUAAAGCCUCCUUAAGAUACUGCUUCACUGACAUGUCAUCUGCUCCGGGUACCUGAACUGGAUCCUCCUUGUCGCCCACCUGAGAUGUCACUAGUCCGUAGAUGGUCCAAGCAACAGGGGAAGCCCAGUAGUACCACCUCCACCAUAUUGGUAUUUGCUGCAGAUGUACAGUUUGUUAGAAUUCAGUAUUCUUCUACAAAAACAUACUCAAAUUCUUCGUAGGCAUACGCACCAUCCUAUGGAUGAGAAAGCCAGAGAAGAGAUUCCAAAAGCUUAGGAAGAAGGACAUAACAAUGGCAGCAAUUUGAUGGCUGGGAGUGAGUGCUACAAUCAUCAUUCCAUACAAUGUGAAGUAAAUAAAGCACAUGAAUAGGUAGUAGUAGAACCAUAAGAACUUGUCCACUCGCCAGUAGAAUCCCAUCAUAGAGUAGAGGAGAAAACUGUAAAGACAAGUUUGGAUGGCAACGUAAAUUGCCUCUAUGGCCACCUGCAGGGCAUCCGAAUACAAGAUUAGUUUAAAGUUAAGCUCUACUAGAAAUGUGUAUCUGUUUCACAUUUGUUUUGUCAAAAGGCAACCUGGGCAAAUGCGUAAGACAAUGCUGAAUACAUCCCAGCUGCCCUUUCACGGUAGAAGACUGUUCUCUCAAUUGCCACAACAGGCUGCACUGCGGCAGUGUUGGUGGUUCCAAGGAAGAAGACAGCUGAAAACAUAGCUCCCAGCAGAUUUAUUAGGUCUUGUUCUUUGUCUCUGCAUACAGUAGUUGGGGUGUUGGUUCACAUUUUUUCUUAAUUAUUAAUGGAGAAACACCAAAAUAAUAAAUUUGCAAUACUUACGUCUGCUUUCCUUUGUUCCUGAAAAUUGCUCCAAAUAGAACACCAAUAAUUAUGGUCAAGAAGAGCCGGAUAGCAUUAUAGGGAGGAUUCCUCCAAUAAGACCAGUGCUGUUUCCAGAAGCAAGCCUUGCAUUGGGUAAUAAAGCUUUGAGAGUAUUUGGUGGGGAAAUAAAGGUUUUUGGAUCCUGGUGAUGGUGUGCUGAUCACUUUGAUGAGUUCCUGAUUCCUCCUACAACAAAAGGUGGAGUGUAAUAAGUCAUCGGAAAAAGAAUUGAGACAGAAAGAUGAAGUUCCAAGGAAUCAUAAUCCACUUACUGAUAGAGUUCAGAUUUAGCAUAAAUUUCCGCAAAAUCCACACCAAGUUGAGCCUCAACUGCAGCAGAGCUGACCUCCAGCAUCCAUGUAGCAGGAUUUUGACCAUCUCUGACUUUAGGAACCCCCGGGACAGCCUGCAGCAAGUUAUAGAUAUGAUCAUGACACACUCCUUAUAAGUAUAACAACGGAGAUGGAGCAAGUUCACGGAAGAUGAAUAAUGCUCACUUCAAAGUACUCUACAAGCUUGUGAGAAUUGCGACCAAGAGGUCCAGCAUAAAUGAUUUGUCCUCCUCUCUUCAUCAGCAAUAGCUGCAGGCAAAAAUGAUGUUGGAUUGAAGAAAGGAAUGGUGACUCCAUGAUAAUCAUAUCAAUAAGAAGUAUUAGAUACAAAACCAUGAAACUAAGAAAUACCUCAUCGAAAGCUUCAAAGAUGUCUAUGCUUGGCUGGUGAAUGGUGCAGACAACAGUCCGCCCUGUAUCCACUAUGUUUCUAACAGUACGCAUAACAAUUCUAGCUGCUCUAGCAUCAAGGCCUGUCGUUGGCUCAUCCAUGAAGAUGAUGGAGGGGUUAGCAACCAAUUCUACACCAACUGUCAGCCUCUUCCUCUGUUCUGUUGAAAGCCCAUCUAUUCCCGGAAGGCCAACCAAAGCAUUCCUCAGGGGGUGAAGCUCAACCAAAUCCAUUACUUCCUCAACAAACAUCUGUAGCACGGAAGGAACAAAAGAAAAGAACUGAUGAAUAUAGCUUGUAGUAGGGUGAAACUAAAUGAAAAAUCAUUCAUUUGAAAAAGGACAUGCCUGCCUUGUUUCCUUCUUGACAUCUGGAGCAAGGCGCAGCCAGGCUGAGUAAACAAGAGAUUCAUAAACAGUUACAUGUGGAGAAUGUAUAUCAUUCUGUGCACAGUAACCACUAACACGAGCGAAAGUUGCUUGGUCUUGGGGGUAACCAGAAAUGCUGAUUCUUCCUUCAAUGUACCCACCAGUUUUCCUUCCUGCUAACACAUCCAUCAAAGUGGUCUUUCCAGCACUACUAACACCAACUAAUGCCGUUAGAAUACCUGGCCUGAAAGCACCGCUAGCAUCCCACAGCAGUUGGAGACGAUCUACUUCAAUUCCUUGGCUCUUCAUUUCCUGUGAUUGAAUCCAGAAAAAAGUUUCAAAUCUCUAGACCAAGAUCAUAUCCUAACAUAUAUAUUAGUCUCACUUGUGUGUCUAAAUACUCAAAACAAGUUACUUACGGCAGGCAUAUCAACAUAGUAAUUCACAUGCUCAAAUGCAAGUGAUAAGGGCUGGAAGGGCAACACCAUUUCCCUUUUAGUAGGCUCAUGAUUUGCAUCUUUGACAACUGAUUUGGUGUUUUCUCCAGUGUUCCUUACUUCCAUAUCAAUACCUGUUACCAUAGACCUAAUAUCAGCUACCAGAUAAAGAAAAUCUGAUAUUUAUGUUAUUUGUAAUAUCUGGUAUCACUAGCCUCUUCAAGAAGUGAUUAACAAAAAUUUUGUGAGGGUCAUGUAAAAAGCUGGUGUAUCCUAGAGAAGGAGAACCAAUAGCAAGAAGCAAGUUUUAUGCAAUAUAAUUUCUCAAGAGCAAGCUCAGAAAUUGUAGCAACAUAAUAGUUGAUGAAACAUUAUUAAUUGCAACAUCUUUUCCUCUCUGCAAAGGGAUAUUUGCAGCAUGUUUCAGAAGAAAUAGAUCUCAAAACUUAUCCUUUUUGUCCCAACUUUUUGAAAUCUAUCUUGACAUCCACCACUUUGUUAUGCUUGAGUUUUAAGCUAUCAUACUACUGGUUUUCGGCAUUGAUAAACCACUCAGUUUAUUGAAAAUGAACACCAUAAGGUGGCAAUGAGAGGGGAGUUGAUUCAAUUGAAAAACUAGAUAUUCAAUUGAAAAACUAGGCAUUGAUAACCUAAUGCUUGGUUAAUAAAAUAUAUAGAAACGCUAGAAGACAAACAAACAACAAAAAACCAGAGGAGACCAAAGUAGGAAAAAUCUUGAACCUUGAGGCAUUGGGGCAACAGAUGCUGAAUUUCUUUCAGCGGUGGUCAUUUUAUGCUCUUUGUUAGAGUAAAACUGCUUCUCACUCUUUUUUUCAUCAUCCUCAUCAAUAAUGACAGAGUUUGAGCCUUCCAGAGCUGCAUUUGAGUUUCAGAAAAUUGUCAAAACUAGAAUCUUAUUUAAAUAAUACCCAGUUCUGACUGAUGGAUGAUAAUUCCAUGACUAAAACCUUUGGAGGGAAGGAAAAAGGAAAAUGUAGGUUAGCAUAAGCAAUAACUUACGGUUCAAAUAUGUCAGAGCUGCAAUGAAACAGAUAUUGAAGAGCAGAGAAAACCCCGUGAGUGCACCAACACAAAUCCAAUACCAAUAUCCAUCCACAAACAUGCCUCUUUCCUUGAGAAGAGCUUUCCCAACUGUGGGUUCUGGAAUUCUUCGAUUGAUGUUGGGCUGUGCCAAAAACCGAGUAGUGUAUACAAAGACAGACCAAGUAAUGAAGGUAGAAAUGCCCAAGCUUAAAACAAAGUGAGAAACAAUCAUUCAAAAGCUACUAGGAAACCUUACCGCACUCCAUCUGUCAUCAAGAAAUUCAUUGAUGACAAGCGCAUUUUGUCCAUACGUCAUUGGAGAAGCAUAAUAUGCCCAUAUCAUCCAUGGUUCAAUAUCAUCUGAGGAAGAAGGAUAAACAAAUGGUUUAUUAGAUUAUCACUCAUAUGAUAUAAUCACAUGAAGAGUGCCCCUCUCCCUUUCCAUUUGAAAUAUGGCAUCAGUGUUGCAAAAACAAUCAGCUCGCAUAGCAAAAAGACACAAAAUACUGACCUUUGGAUACAAUGAAUCCACCCCGAACAAAAACCAGUAGUAAUGUAAAGGUAGCAAGGGUGUUGGCCACAAUCUGUGUUCUUCCAAGUGCUGCAAUGAAGCGGAAGAGAGACAAAGCCAUCUGAUGCACGAGAAAUAAUGCCACUAAUUGACGGAAAAACCUGAACAAUUUUCAAGUCUUGGGUUGUUACAGUUCCAUUUGUGAAUGCUAAAACACAAGUCAGGAAGAAUGGAGGUCCAUUCACAUACCUACUAGCAGAAGGGGCAAACCCAAUAGUGUAAUACGUGAGAAUGAUCCAUAUCCCUGACUCCAUGAGUGACAAGGGGAUCCUAAGGACCCAAAUUGGUAAUGCAAAAGCCCAUGCCGGGUAAAACAAUAAGUCCCUCUGCUUAAAAAACACUGGGAGCCUGAAAAUAGUCAAUGCAAGCUCUGCCAUUCCGUUAUACAUUACAUUUAUGAGACCAUAAAACAGAGCCCCAUUGAAUUUUACUCCAUCUUGCAGUUGGCCAUGCUUCAUUUCUGUUCUGAAGAACACUGUCAUGGCAAUUACUGACAUGAUUGUAAUCUGGGUUGUCUUGAAUAUGUAUAUAAAAGAGUUGCGCUUCAUCAAUAGCCACUCUCUGACAAAGCAUGCCUUGAAGAGUUCCCAGUUGGAGAUUCCAUACUUUUCUGUCACCAAUGCUGCAGGUUGGGUUCUGCUCUUAUUGUAAGGGAUUCCAAGGUCAUCUGAAAGCUUCUGGCCAAUGUGGAAAGAGUUGAAGUGUUGCACAAACUCGGGCACUGAGAUAUAUUUGUAAGGUUCAUUCUUUCUGAACCAGUAUUGUUCUUGGUCCUUUCUGGAAGUCACCUCGUGCAAGAAGUCCACAACUCCUUUUCUUUCCGGGCAUUUGAAGCCCAUGCUUUCAAAGAACUCAAGGAUGUUUUCACGGGGACCUUGGUACACAAUCUGACCCUCACAUAGUAAGAUAAUGGCAUCAAAAAGAUCAUAAGUUUCAGGUGCGGGUUGGAGAAGAGAGAUUAUCAUGGUUACUUCCAUGAUAUGAACCAUCUGCCUCAUAAACUUAACAAUCUGAAAAGUGGUGGAACUGUCCAGACCAGUUGAUAUUUCAUCCAUGAAAAGAGCCUUUGCUGGUCUAACCAACAUUUCUCCUGCAUUCAGUUUCAUCAGUCGUAUUAGGCUUUUGUCCAGUGUUAAAAAUCUUAAGAACAGGGACUCCUCAGAAAGCAGACAAUUCAUAAUUGAUCGGUAGCUCAAUUCAAAUUGAAGGCAAAUGCUUUACCACUAAGUUGGAAGAAACAAUUGAUAUAGGACAUAAUCAAUGGAAAUGGGGCACAUACCAGUAGUAACACGCUUCUUUUCUCCACCAGAAAUGCCCCUUCUCAUAUCGUCUCCCACCAUAAUGUCAGCGCAGAUAUCUAAUCCCAGCAUCUGUUACACAGACAAUGUUAAAGAGCGUAAAGCUUGGGAAUGUAACUAAUAGGUCAGGCACCAAAUGGAAACGGAGCUACAAACCUUGAGCACGUAAUCUGUAACCAAAUUAGUUUCUGUUGCUCUCAUGAACGCAUCUAUCUCAGGAUCUGGCUUAAUUCCAGCUUCUUUUUCUCGUCUUGACAAUUCUGCAAGUAGUUCAUAUCUGGUUCCAACCCCCAAACAUCGUCCUGAGAAGUCCAACGUUUCCCUAACUGUCAUCUCACCAUGGUGCAGAUCAUGCUGGCCAAUGUAAGCACAUGUUCUCUGAGGAACAAACUCUGAUGAUUCAUGACCACAGUAUGUGAUUCUUCCUUCCAUCUGUCCAUAAACACCGUACACAACAGAGCUACUAGUUCAGGAAUCGGGACUAUCACCAUCACUAAAUAAUUCAAAAUUCAGGAACAGUCUGAGGACAUGGGCUGAAACUUGGGAAGGAAAUAAUAAUGACACAGUGAAGGAUCGAAUUGGAUAAAAAUAUUUGUCAGAAUGUAAGUUGUGGGGGACAACAUACCCUUAGAUCUUUGUUCAUCUUCCCAGCAAGCGCCUGUAGCAGGGUAGUUUUUCCUGAGGCUGGAGGUCCCAGAAGCAGAGUCAUUCUGCAAAACACAGAAGCUAAUCAAGAAACCGGCAAAGAAAGGAAGUGUACUUAAUGGGAAAAUUUUUUGUUAUCCUAUUAAAAUUUCCCAGAAUAUGUAUCAAUCAAAUUAUAUAAAGACAUCAUUCAGGAGAUUUGUGUUAAGGGCAACAUGAUUGAUUGAAAGGUACUUCCAAAAAUGGAAUACAUUUACCUUGAUGGUUUCACGAUCCCACUCACAUCUUUUAGUAUCUUGACUACCCUUUUCUUAGAUGGGGAAAGCCUAAUCAGUCCAAGUAUUCCCUGUUCAUGACAACAAAUAAACACAAUCAUAAUUCAUUCAUCUCUACAAAUUCCAACAGUCUACUGAAUUGAAGCAAACUUCUCCCAAAAACAUUAUCAGGAGAUUGAAGUCAUUCAUCAUAAUUUGCUGAAAGGGAAAAUCAAGAAUCACCAUCGAAAACAGAAGAAGAAAAACAAAGGGACAAACAGAACAAACCACCUCUAUGAAGUUCAUGGUAGAAUUGAUCAGAGUAGGAAGUGCCCUGGUUCCAACAUAUGCGUCUCCUUCUAUUGAUAAAUGCUCAAACCGGACUUCGAUUUUUGGAAUCUCAACCCCAACCCUGUUGAGAAAACAGAUGUUACGUUCCAUAAAACUUUUCUGGUAACAAAUUCAACUGGGGCAAAGCCAAAAGCAAAAAAACACAUGACUAACAGGGUGAACUUCAUGGGAAGAAAGAGAGAAGAGUGACCUAUCAGUCCUUUCCCUGAGCCUGAGAAGGAACUUCUCAUUAUCUUCUUCAACAACCUUUGGUAUACUCUCUAUGUGAUGCUUCCUCUCCUGCAUACCAAGAUUGGUGAAGUCAACUUCCUCAUGGACAACCUUCCCAUCAUCCAAAACUUGCUUAGGCAUCUCCUUGCUCAACCGCUCAAAGGUUGGAAGCCUUUCAAUGGCCGCCCACUUCAAUUCUUCCUCAUCAUCCUCUCUCCUACUCCUCUGAAAAACAUCACCUUGAGCUGACAACGCCUCACAAAUACUCGCAGAAGCCCAACUACGCCUACUUCCAGACGAUGAACUUUUACGCCUGCUGCUCAUGGAACUUGCUAGAUCAUCCUCAGCCAAUGAUGCAGCCAUUGUCCCCCACCAAAACCCCUCAGAGUAAAGACUCCAAACCCCACUUUAUAAUAACCCUGGAAAGCUGAGAUUCAACCGGUAAGCUAGCUCAACACGCUAGAGAAGGUUUCGAUGGAAUGGUGAUGGAGUGUUCGCCUGUUAGUUUAGGAGAGUUGGCGGCGGAAACCCCUCAGAAUAAAGACUCCAAACCCCCUUUAUAAUAACCCUGGAAAGCUGAGAUUCAACCGGUAAGCAACACGCUCGAGAAGGUGUCAAUGGUGUCGGAGUGAUCGCCCGCUAGUUUAGGAGAGUUGGCGGCGGCGGUAGUCACUGCCUGCGUGGAGCCGUUGUUUGUUUUAAAGUCACAUCAUAAAAAAUUGCCUUACAUGUAAAAUUCUUUUAUCAAAAAUAAAAACUAAAAUAGAAAAUUUGCCACCUCUACAAAAAAAAUAUAAAUUUAAUUUUUCCAAAACAAAAUUAUCAUUUGUCAUUAAUUACUAAUAAUAUAUUAAGAUUGAACGAAAAUUAAAAAAUAAAAUAAAAUCUCAUUUAAUAUUUUUCGUAUUUAUUCCUUUUUAUACUCUUGUUUUAGGGUUGAUUUAGCUAAAUCGUAAAAAAUAAUACUUACUAAGUUUUUAUUAACUAUUUAUAUUUUUACUUGGAAGCAUGAAUAUAAUAUGAAUCCAUCAAAAUUUAGCUAUUAAGUUAUGGGUGUUUUAGUGAUGUAUCAUAUAAAAUAUAAAUUUUAAUUGAAAGACUUUACUUUCAACUAUCUUAUAUUUAAUUAUUUGAAAAAGAAUAAGAAUUAAGAUACUGAUUUUGUAUCUAUGAAAAUCUUAAUCUCCAUUUUUAAAAGUACAUAUAAAAAAUAAAAAUAAAAAUCUAAGUUUUUGAAUGUAAGUACAAAAAAUGAAAUCAAGUUGUAAAACACGAGACUUAACACACACGUCUUCUAUUUGAAAGAUAUCAAAAUUUAUAAUAGAAGUUAUUGAAUUUUUUUAAAAUAAUUUAAAAUGUUUUUGCUAUAAAAUGAUUAGAAUUAUUGAUCUAAUGAAUUUUUUUUCCUACUUUUUAAUUCUUUUAAACAUUUCCUUUAAAUAUUCUUGAUCAUUUUAUUUAUAUAAAGUCCAAAAAAAAUUUCAAGUGUACUUAUACCAUGGUUGUUUAAUUUAAUAUAUUUUUAUAAUUAAUAUUUAAAAUUAUUUACUUUUUAAUAAUAAUAUAAAAUAUCAUUAAUUACCUUAUAAUUUAUAAAUGAUAAUUACAAUAUAAUAUUCUUAGUGGAUGUCCUCGUGACAAAAGUCUUGGGUGGACAAGUAUAUUGCCUUUUAAAUUAUUUUACAAGUCUCGUUAUUUCCGCCCGGAUUUUUUUAUAAUUGUACCGUGAAUUUAAAAUUAAUUUUUUAAAAUACGGCACUAUGAAAACUAUUUCCAAAUCUACGGCAUUUUGUAUCACUUUUUAAAGGUAUCUCUUGAAAAGACAUUUUACAUCAUUUUUAUAUAAAUGAUACAUGUUCAAAAAAAUUGAAUUUACAUUGAAGGUAUCUCUUCAAGAGACACCUUCCACAAUUUUUAUAUCAAUAACACAUGUUAAAAAUUUUGAAUUUACAUUAAAAGUAUCUCUUUAAGAGACUUUUUUUAAUUUUAUAAAAUUAAAUUUAUAUUAAAAGUGUCUUUUAAAUAGUUAUUUUUCACGGUUUUCAUAUCAGUUGCAUAAUAAAAAAAUUGAAUUUAUACUAAAGAUGUCAGACACACUUUCUAAAAUUUCACAAAAUUAAAUUUAUAUUAAAAAUGUCUCUUGAAGAGACACCUUUAACAAUUUUUGCAUCAAUCAUCCAUUGAAAUAAUUGAAUUUAUAGGUUAUGUUUGGUUCCCGAAAAGUAUUAAGAAAAGAAAAAAAUUGCUUAAGAAAAUAAUUUUCUCAUGUUUGGUUGUCUUAUAGAAAAUAAUAAAGAAAAUAAUAUAUAAGUAAGAUUAAUUAAAAAUUUAUAUAUUUUCAAAUUAUUUAAUCUUUAUAUUGAAAAGUGAAAAUAAGUAAAAUGAGUUUGAAGUAGCAUGUAAAAAUAAUUUAUUGAUUUUAAAUCCAUUGUUAUUUUCCCUCAUUUUUUCUUUCAUUCUAUUUUCCUUUCUAUUUUCUUUCCCUUGUAUUUUCCUUUACAUUUUCCAGGAACCAAACAUAGCCUAAAAGUGUAUUUUCAAAAGACACAUUCCACAAUUCCAUAAAAUUAAAUUUAUAUUGAAAUGUUUUCCUUCAAGAAACACUUUUAGUAUAAAUUUAAUUUUUUUUUAUAGGUGACUAAUAUAAAAAUUGUAAAAAGUGUUUCUUUAAAAGACACAUUUAGUAUAAAUUCAAUUUUGUGAAAUUGUAUAGACUCCUUCAAUGUAAAUUUAUUUUUUUUCACUGUGUAAUUGAUAUGAAAAUUAUAAAAAAUGUCUCUUCUAGAGACAUCUUUAGUAUUAAUUUGAUUUUAUGGUAUUGUGGAAAUGAUAUUUUUUUAAUAUAAAUUUAAUUUUUUUUUAAUAUAUAUGACUAAUAAAAAAAUUAUGGAAAAGUGUCUUUGGAAGAGACACUUUAACAUAUAUUCAAUUUUAUGGAAUUAUGGAAUGUAUCUUUUCAAGAGACUCCUUUUGUGUAAAUUUAAUUUAAUUUUUUUUAACAUUUAUGGUUGAUAUAAAAAAUAUAGAAGAUGUCUUUUCAAAAAAUAUAUUUCAAAAUGACAAAAAAAUAUAGUAGAUUUGGAAUUAUUUUUUAAAGUACUAUUUUUUAAGAAUUAUUUUUUUAAAUAGCCGUACAAGUUUAAAAAGCCCGUCCAGGGCUGAGAACUGGAAAAAGGAAGACGGUCCGACACACUUGAUAAAAGGAGACAAGACUUUGGUCAUGUAAUUCCAAAUCUAUCGAAGGAAAAGGUAUUAAUUUGAAAGAAAUCCUAAUCAUUGACUCGGCUUCCACAUGUAUUUCUACCAUCAUCCGACCACUCAAAUUGGUUUUUUUAUAUUUAUGAUUUUCAUUGAUUUCUGUCCAACCCAAACCUAUCGAAUUAAAAGAGGAAAAGGUAUAUAUUGAUUAAAAAGAUUGGAAAGAAGUACUAAUCAUUGACUGAUAGGCUUCUUCACCAUCUAUAACAAAAGAAAUAUUUGGUUAAAAGGAUGAAAUAAUUCUCAAAAUUAAAAAUCUAACCCUUUUCAUAUUUUUUUUGAAAAAAUAAUUCAUUUUUUAUAUAAAUAUUAUUUUCUAUUUUAAGUAUUUAUAUGUAGGUUUUAAAAGAAACGGUUGUUUUUACAAGAAAAUAAUGAGAAUAUUUUUGUCCAAAUGAUACCAAAAAAUGGGUGAGAGGUUAAAUUUCAAAAGUUGGAUUUUGAGAGGCCCUUUUAAUCAAAUAACCCUUUACAAAAAUUCCUUUUCAGGUCACUCUAAUUAAGGAAAUAGACUUUUGUUUUAAAAAAACCUUUUUUGGGCAUUUUAUUAAAAAUUAACUUUUUGGACAAUUUUAUUCACAAAACGAUUUUUUAAAUCAUUUUUAUUAAAUAAAUAAUUUUUUUUUUGUUUUUUUAGGACAAUUAUUAUUAAAAACAAUUUUUUGAAAUUUUGGAUUUUUGGAUAUUCAAUUCUGUACCCAAUGAGUAAACAUAUAUAAAUGAAUAUUUACGAAUCAAUAGGAAUAAAACAAAAUCUUAACAAUGAAAUGAGUCCAUGUAAAAACAAAAAUAAACCAAAAUAAAUAUUCAAAAAUAUACAAAGUCUAAAAUUAAACUUUAAAUUAAUCCAAUAAAUUUCACCAAUUAAAAUAGAUUUAAAUUGAUAAAUAAAACCCAAUAAAAACAUCCCACAUAUUAUUAGUCUUAAUCCCAGAUCUGCAAAUUAAUCACCAAAACACAAACAUAAUCAUGAAAAUUUACUAAAAAUACCAAAAAUCUUCUCUUUGGUUCUAAUACUUAUUUUGAAAACCAUUUUUAAUUAUAAAUUUCCUCUGCAAAGUGGAUGGAGAUAUUGGCCUUAUAUCUCCUUUUUCAUUCCUCUCUAUUGUUCCUGAUCUGCACCAUUGUUGGAUCUGUUAAAAUCUGGAGAAAAAUAAGGAACUAAAACUUGUAGAAAAUAUUAGAGUAUUGAGUUGGAGAAAGGCACACAAUAUUUCACCAAUGAGAAUGCCUAUUUAUAGGCUUACAACCAAACUGAAAAUGCUAAAAACUCUCAGCUGCUAUGACUACUUCUACUAACAGAAAAACUGAAAAUUAUGGAGCAAAACUGAGUCUAACUAAGACAUUUUCAAAGGCAAACUCUCAUGAAUUCUAACACUCCUCCUUGAGAUUUGCCUUGGACAUACCAAGCUUCAACCUUAGGAACUCCAGCCUUGAUUUAGGAAGUCCUUUAGUCAUUAUGUUAGCAAGUUGCUCAUCAGUUGAGCAAUAAUGCAGCUUAACAAGUGAAUUCUUUUCAGCUUCCCUUAUGGAGUGGAAUUUUACAUUUAUGUGCUUGGUUCUGCCAUGUUGGACAGGAUUUUGAGUACUGGAAAUGGCUGACUUAUUGUCAUAGUAAAGCUCAGUUGGUGAGCUUUGUUCCUGGCCUAAAUCAGUAAGCAAUUUUCUCAACCAUAUUACUUGAUUUGCAGCAGCUGCUAAGGAGAUAUACUCAGCUUCUGUAGUUGAUUGUGCCACUACUUCUUGCUUUCUUGAAUUCCAGCAUAUGACACCUGAACUGAUUGUAAAUACAUAACCUGAAGUGCUCUUCAUAUCAUCAACACUUCCUGCCCAAUCACUAUCAGCAUAACCAUCUAGCUUAACUCCUCCUGUCUUUAAAUACCAAAUGCCAAGAUUUGUUGUACCUUUAACAUACUUUAGCACCCUCUUUGCAACUCCCAUGUGAACAUUUCUAGGUGAACUCAAGAACCUUGAAAGCAAACUAGCUGGAAACAUCAAGUCAGGUCUGGUUACUGUCAAGUAUAGUAGGCUUCCCACCAAGCUUCUAUAUGCAGAGGGUUCCUCAAGUUUCUCACCAUCAUUCUUUGAAAUUUUCUCAUUUUGUGCCAACGGAGUUGCUACUUCUUUGCAUGAUUCUAGCUUGAAUUUCUUGAGAAUAUCCAUAGCAUAUUUUCUUUGUGAAAUGAAGAUACACCAGCUGCAUUGGUAUAUUUCCAUUCCAAGGAAGUAGUUCAUGAUGCCAAGGUCAGACAUCUCAAAUGCAUCAUGCAUUUCCAUUUUGAAAUCAGCUAGCAAUUUUACAUUGCUUCCAGUCACUAGCAUGUCAUCAACAUAAAGUGAUACUACCAGUUGCAAACCAUCAUCAUUUUGUUUCAAAUACAAAGUAGCUUCAUUUUCACUCCUCCUAAAUCCAAGUUGGAUCAGAUGAGAAUCAAUUAUGCUAUACCAGGCCCUUGGUGCUUGCUUCAAACCAUAGAGAGCCUUAUGUAGCUUGUACACUUUAUGUUCAUGGCCAAUAACCUCAAAGCCUUUUGGUUGUUGAACAUAAAUUUCUUCAAGAAGUAUACCAUUUAGAAAAGUUGACUUGACAUCUAAAUGGUAUACUUUCCAUCCCAUUUGACCAGCAAGUGCAAGUAGUAGCCUUAUAGUGUCAUGUCUGGCUACUGGUGCAAAUGUAUCACCAUAGUCCACUCCAGCAACUUGAGCAAAACCCUUCACAACCAAUCUAGCCUUAUGCCUGAAGAUUGAACCAUCUGAAUUAAAUUUGGUUCUAAAAACCCAUUUUACACCAAUUACAUUCUUAACUUCAGGUAGUUCUGUCAACUUCCAGGUUCCAUUUCUUUCAAUAGCAUCAAUUUCAGCUUUCAUGACCUCAAUCCAUUCUAGAAAUCUUGCAGCUUCCGUGUAACAUGUAGGCUCAGCAUGUACAAGAUUGCACCUCUCAUACACAUCAGAUAAUGGCCUCAUCUUAAGCACAAGUGUGUCUGAAGUUGCUUCAACAUCAAGUGGACCUUCAAUGAUUAUACUUUCUAUUGCUGGUUCAAGAAUAGAUGGAGUGGUUUGAUCACAUUUAUGAACUUUCUUCAAGUCCCAAUUCCAGUAGGAGUUUUCAUCAAAGUCCACAUCUCUACUUAUCACGAUUUUCAUUCUACUCAAGCUAUAAAUUCUGUAACCUUUUGAUUCAGCUGCAUACCCAACAAAAACACCUUUCUCAGCUCUUUCAUCAAGCUUCCCUCUCUUGACAGAUGGCACAUGAAGAUAACAAAAUGAACCAAAAACUUUCAGGUGCUUGAUAGAAGGUUUUACACCAGACCAUGCCUCUAUUGGUGUUUUGCUCUAAACAGACUUAGUUGGUAGUCUGUUAAGCAAAUAUACUGAGGUGUUGACUGCUUCAGCCCAUAGAAGUUUUGGUAGCUUCUUCUCGAAUAGCAUGCACCUUGCCAUCUCCAUCACGGUUCUGUUCUUCCUCUCAAAGACUCCAUUCUGUUGUGGUGAGUAUGGAGCUAUUAGUUGGUGUACAAUUCCAGCUUCUUGACAAAAGACAUUUAACUCUUUUGAGAUAUACUCACCUCCAUUAUCAGUUCUAAGCACCUUAACGUUCUGGCCACUUUGAGUUUCAACCAUUUUCUUGAAGCUUUUGAACACAGAGAGCACUUGUGACUUGGUUUUUAGAAAAUAAACCCAAGUCAUUCUACUGAGAUCAUCAAUAAAUAAUGCAAAAUACACAUUGUUGCUCAAUGAGGCUGUGCUCAUUGGUCCACAAAUAUCUGAAUUAAUUAAUUCCAGCUUGUGAGUAGCUUUCUUGGACAUAUUUUGAGGGAAUGGUUGUCGUUGUUGCUUCCCUAGCUCACAACUUUCACAAGUUUGAGCAUUAACUGAGAUUUCAGGCAUGUCUUCAACCAUACCAGCUUCUUGCAUGAACCUCAGUGACUUCAAGUUGAAAUGACCAUAUCUUUUGUGCCAAACAACACUCUCAUCAAUCUUGGCACUAAAGACAUGACCUUCAACUAAAUCAAGCUUCAAAUAAAAGUUAUUUCCAUUCAUUUUAAUUUUUGCUAUCUCUUUUCCAUGUACAUUAGUGAUAAAACAAAAAUUUCCUUUGAAAAAGACUGCAUAUCCAUUUCUUAGCAUUUGUGCAACACUAAGAAGAUUCUGAUCUAAAUCUGGAAUGUAAAGAACAUUAGUGACAAUUUUUGUACGUCUCUUGGUGCUGAUAGCAAUUGUCCCUUUUCCUUUGGCCUGCACAACUUCACCGUUUCCCAACUUGACCUUUGGUUGAACUGAUCUAUCAAUGGAGGUAAAUAUUGACAGAUAUUUGGUCAUGUGACUCGUGCAGCCACUGUCAAUGAGCCAAGUAUUCAGUUCAUGAGAACUCAGUUCAUGAGAACUGAGUGCUUGUGAUGCCAUAAAUAAAUGCUCAUCAUCAUUUUUGUCUUCUUCAGUCACAUUUGCAUUUUGUUUUGGUUGUUGUUGAGAUUGUUUUUUCUUGGCUCUGCAAUACUUCUCACUGUGGCCAAGUUUAUUGCAGAAAUUACAAUUAAAGAGAGGUUUACCUUUGUGCCAACAAUCUUUCUCAGCAUGGUUGGUUCUUCUACAAUGAGAGCAAGACGGAAAUUUUCCUUUUCUUGAAGACCCUUCAGCUUUCUCUUUGUUGUUCUUGAAGAACUUCUUUCCUUGCAAGUUUCCAGAAUUCUUUCCCUCGUGAUUUGCUUGAAAAGCACCUUCAGUAGCUUCAUCACCUCUCAUUAAGACCCUUUGCUCUUGUGCAUGAAGCUUGCUGGUUAACUCUACAAUUGUGAGAGUUUGCAAGUCACAAGACUCUUCAAUUGCAGAAAUCUUGGCUUCAAACUUUUGAGGCACUAAAACCAUGAUCUUUUCUACCACCUUUUGAUCUGUAAAUGCCUCACCAAGAAGUCGUAUUUGGUUUACAACAUCCAUUAACCUGCCAGAAUAAUCUUUGACAAAUUCAUCGUCUUUCAUCUUCAUCAACUCAAACUCUCUCUUCAAUUUGAGGAGUCUAACAGUUUUGAAUCUUUCACUGCCCUCAAAUUCACCUUGGAGCUUGUCCCAUACUAGUUUAGGUGUUUCCAAGUUCAUGAUUUUGGUGAAGAUGUGGUCUGUAAGUCCUGAAUGUAGGCAGGUGAUGGCUUUGUCUUUCUUGAGUUUUUCUUCCUCAUAUGCUUUCAUCUGAGCAACUGUAGGAUUUGCUCCCAAUGGUGGUGGAUCAGCUUCAGACAUCACAACAUUCCACAAACCUUGAGACCUUAAAUAAAACCUCAUCUUGACAGCCCAAAUGUGAUAGUGUUCACCAUUAAACACUGAAAUUACAGAGGAAGUAUUGCUAGAAGGAGACAUGUUUGCACCACAGUUGCUUAAAAAAAAAUAGAUCACUCAACCUCACUAGUGUUUGCACUCAACCUCAUUGUGUUUAAUACUAAAAAAAAAACUUUGCCUCAUAGCCCGUAGGAAUAAUGCUCUGAUACCACUGUUAAAAUCUGGAGAAAAAUAAGGAACUAAAACUUGCAGAAAAUAUUAGAGUAUUGAGUUGGAGAAAGGCACACAAUAUUUCACCAAUGAGAAUGCCUAUUUAUAGGCUUACAACCAAACUGAAAAUGCUAAAAACCUCAGCUGCUAUGACUACUUCUACUAACAGAAAAACUGAAAAUUUUGGAGCAAAACAGAGACUGAGUCUAACUAAGACAUUUUCAAAGGCAAACUCUCAUGAAUUCUAACAGGAUCCUCAUGAUCUAUUUCCACCAAGUCCCACAAGUCACAUGCUUGCAGGUACGACUCCAUUUUCACAUCCCAUAUUUGGUAAUUUUCACCUGUGAAAACUGGAGGUGCAGACAAAAAUCUAUUUCUGCCAUAUCGGGUUUCAAGAGGAAGGAUGGGUUUUGAUUUGUUGUGGUUUAUAUCUCACUUGAUACACUCUCACACUACACAGGUCCCAAGUCAAAUAUGAAUUCAAAAAAUUCAAACUAAACUACAAACUGUUCCUCUAUCUUGUAGAAUACUCUCAACAGAAUACCAGCUUAAAUCCUGCAGCAAAUAUAGCACUUGUCAUCACUAACUUUUGGUUAAAUAAUCAUAUUGAGUCGGUUUACAACUGAAUUUAUUUGGAGGGAAUGCAAUGCAUAUCAAAAAUAAAUACAAGGCAGCCACUUCUCAUUUUGUCAAAUGUAAAUCACUCAUACUUGUGUAUGCAAAUGAAAAAGAAACAAUCAUUUUCUGAGACUUUCCUUUACCUCCUUUGGAAGUUAAGGAACUUAAUGCCAUAGGCAAAGACAAACAAGAAGAGGAGGACCCAACCAAUAUGAGCCAAGGCAACCGCUCCCAAGAAAUCAUAUUCAAAGCCUGAAGCCUCCUUAAGAUACAGCUUCACUGACUUCACACCUGCUCCAGGUACCUGAACCGGAUCCUCCUUGUUGCCCACCUGAGAUGUCACCAGUCCGUAGAUGGUCCAAGCAACAGGGGAAGCCCAGUAGUACCACCUCCACCAUAUCGGUAUUUGCUGCAGAUGUACAGUUUGUUAGAAUUCAAUAUUCUUCUACAAAAACAUACUCAAAUUCUUCGUAGGCAUACACACCAUCCUAGGGAUGAGAAAACCAGAGAAGAGAUUCCAAAAGCUUAGGAAGAAGGACAUAACAAUGGCAGCAAUUUGAUGGCUGGGAGUGAGUGCUACGAUCAUCAUUCCAUACAAUGUGAAGUAAAUAAAGCACAUGAGUAGGUAGUAGUAGAACCAUAAGAACUUAUCCACUCGCCAGUAGAAUCCCAUCAUAGAGUAGAGGAGAAGACUGUAAACCAAAGUUUGGAUUGCAACGUAAAUUGUCUCUAUGACCACCUGC